ACAAGCAAAGGUUUAAGCUUGGGGGAGUUGAUACAUCUCCGUCGUAUCUACUUUUCCAAACACUUUUGCCCUUGUUUUGGACUCUUACUUGCAUGAUUUGAAUGAAACUAACCCGGACUGACGCUGUUUUCAGCAGAAUUGCCAUGGUGUUAUUUAUGUGCAGAAACAAAAGUUCUCGGAAUGACCUGAAACUUCACGGAGAUUAUUUUUAGAAAUGAUAAAAAAUACUGGCGAAAGAAUCAAGGCCAGGGGACCCACACCCUUUCCACGAGGGUGGGGGCACGCGUGCCCCCCCUGGGCGCGCCCCCUGCCUCGUGGGCCCCCUGGAGCUCCACCAACCUCAACUCCAACUCCAUAUAUUCGUGUUCGGGGAGAAAAAAAUCAGAGAGAAACAUUCAUCGCGUUUUACGAUACGGAGCCGCCGCCAAGCCCUAAACUCUCUCGGGAGGGCUGAUCUGGAGUCCAUUCGGGGCUCCGGAGAGGGGAAUCCGUCGCCGUCGUCAUCAUCAACCAUCCUCCACCACCAAUUUCAUGAUGCUCACCGCCGUGCGUGAGUAAUUCCAUCGUAGGCUUGCUGGACGGUGAUGGAUUGGAUGAUAUUUAUCAUGUAAUCGAGUUAGUUUUGUUAGGGUUUGAUCCCUAGUAUCCACUAUGUUCUGAGAUUGAUGUUGCUAUGACUUUGCUAUGCUUAAUGCUUGUCACUAGAGCCCGAGUGCCAUGAUUUCAGAUCUGAACCUAUUAUGUUUUCAUGAAUAUAUGUGAGUUCUUGAUCCUAUCUUGCAAGUCUAUAGUCACCUACUAUGUGUUAUGAUCCGGCAACCCUGAAGUGACAAUAAUCGGGACCACUCCCGGUGAUGACCAUAGUUUGAGGAGUUCAAGUAUUCACUAUUUGUUAAUGCUUUGGUCCGGUACUCUAUUAAAAGGAGGCCUUAAUAUCUCUUAGUUUCCGUUAGGACCCCGCUGCCACGGGAGGGUAGGACAAAAGAUGUCAUGCAAGUUCUUUUCCAUAAGCACGUAUGACAAUAUUCGGAAUACAUGCAUACAUUACAUUGAUGAAUUGGAGCUAGUUCUGUGUCACCCUAUGUUAUGAUUGUUACAUGAUGAACCGCAUCCGGCAUAAUUCUCCAUCACCGACCCAAUGCCUACGAGCUUUUCACAUAUUGUUCUCCGCUUGUUUACUUUACCGUUGCUACUGUUACAAUUACUACAAAACCCAAAAAUAUUACUUUUGCUACGAUUACCGUUACUUCCAUAUUACUGUGCUACUAAAUACUUUGCUGUAGAUACUAAGUUAUCCAGGUGUGGUUGAAUUGACAACUCACCUGCUAAUACUUGAGAAUAUUCUUUGGCUCCCCUUGUGUCGAACCAAUAAAUUUGGGUUGAAUACUCUACCCUCGAAAACUGUUGCGAUCCCCUAUACUUGUGGGUUAUCAGUGCGACAUUGGAGAGCGCCAAUUUCGAGCUUCAAGAUGACAAGUACUUGGUGAAUGUCCACUUCUACACGGCGAAGCCAUCUCUUUCCCAUGGUGAUUUGGUUUUCGAUCCGAGGUCGGAUCUUUCCCAAGGGUGGGGGGGUGAUGCGGAGCAUCCUAUGGACAUCACCAUGUCAAGAGUCCGUUCGGCGAGUGACACGUGCGACAUAUACUUCAGAUACACAAAGGUGAAUCAUCUCCUUUACACGUGCUCACUUGACCCCUUCGGGGAUGGUAUACUACUUGACACCCCUCUCGUGUGCAUGCAUAUGUAUUGUUAGAGCUUCACGGACGAUGAGGAGUGCAAACGCCAAGGAACAACUACACCAUCCGCGAGGGAAGCCUGGAAGCGACGACGGAAGAAAAGGAGCUGCUGAAGCUACAGUGGUCGGACAUCCGGGCCAGAGGUCGGACAUCCGGCGCCUGUGCAGCCGCCCAACAGCUGCACCAACACUCGGCCGAACAAGCUUCAGUGGCCGGACAUCCGGCGCCUCCCGACAGCCUGGACAUCCGGCAUUUCCCCCGGAAAUCCGGCAGCGACGUAUCGAGAGAACAACCGAAGUGCCACUUUAGCCCAGACAUCCGGCCGAGACCCUGGACAUCCGGCUCGUCCCAAAGCCCCAGACAUCCGGCCCCCAGCCCGGACGUCCGGCACCUGCGCAUGCCUAACCGGGCCAAAGGCCCAUGUAUCCCUUUCCCACUUACCCUUUCGUGGCUUAGAGUAUAUAUACUCCUCCCCCUCCUCCUAGUUAGGGUUAGCAAAGGAUUAGCUCAUUUAGAGAUAGAGCUUUGCUCAUCCAUACGGAUCUACUCCAUGAGAGAGACCACGGCCUCUACGGAGAAGAUCCACCUUGGAUUCAAGACCCCUCACGGGAAGAUCCCCUUGCGGAUUCAAGACCUCCUCAUGGAGAUGAACUUUACCUUGUAUCUUUCCUUUUGUUGUUCAUGUACCUUGUGGAUCUUGUGUGUUUGAUUGUCUAGUGGAUGUGUGAUUGGACUUGUUCUUGAGUGUUUCCCCUUGUGAUUUCUCCCCAUUCUUCCCCGUGUUCAUUGUGUUCUUCGUGUUCUUCGAGGGAAUCCACUCCAAUCGUGAAAGAUCGGCCUACACCGGGCCGGGUUAGCCCCGUAUCACUUCUUGUGAUGAUGUAUUACCGAGAGGUCCGAGAGAUACCUCUCCGUCACACGAAGUGACAAAUCUCAAUCUUGAUCCAUGCCAACUCAACAGACACCUUCAAAGAUACCUGUAGAGCACCUUUAUGAUCACCCAGUUAUGUUGUGACGUUUUAUAGUACACAAGGUAUUCCUCCGGUAUCCGGGAGUUGCAUGAUCUCAUAGUCGAAGGAAUAUGUAUUUGACAUUAAGAAAGCAGCAGCAAUAAGCUGAACGAUCAUAUGAAGCUAACAGAUGGGUCUUGUCCAUCACAUCAUUCUCCUAAUGAUGUGAUCCCGUUAUCAAGUGACAACACAUGUCUAUGGUUAGGAAACCUUAACCAUCUUUUGAUCAACAAGCUAGUCUAGUAGAGGCUCACUAGGGACACAAUAUUUGUUUAUGUAUCCACACAUGUAUUUAAGUUUCCGGUCAAUACAAUUAUAACAUGAAUAAUAAUCCUUUAUCUUGAUUGAGGAAAUAUAAUAAUAACCACUUUAUUAUUGCCUCUAGGGCAUAUUUCCAACACUUUCAUCUGGACUUCAAAUUGGGUGAUUCUUUCUUUUUGUUGCAAAGUAUAUUUCGUGCUCUUUGAAACCCAAUUGGAUUCACCUUCAAAUUCGUCCGGAGCGUUGAGAUAUUGACGAAACAAUUUGACGCUGCAGCAGAAUCCGAGUCAAUCUACAAGUCCAAAGGUGUUGAAUCACCUCCACUUGGGACCAUGGGCCUUGUACAACAUAGGGUUAAUUUUAGGCUGCCUUGGGACGUCCUCCCACCUCCUUGGCCGCCACCCCUUUCUCCUAUAUAAGUAGAUCAAUCUAGUAGCUUUUUGCUUGGGAUUUAUUUAGUUAAAAGUUAGCCAUUGCAACUUCGUGUACUUCGUUUGUGUCCAACGACCAGACCAAGACCUCUUUUGGAUCCCCACUUUUAUCAAUACUUCAUAUAUAUUAGCAAUAUCUAGAUUGCAUUAUCAUAUUAUUGCUUGUUCUUCGAUUACAUGCAGGAAUAUACCUUCGUGGUCAGGCUGAUCAUGCUUCUGGCAUCGUCAGUAACCUCAGGAGAUUGGUUUAGCGAUUGCUAAGGCGCAACGUCGUGCACGUUUGUAUUCGACCGUCAAAGUCGACUCCACCAAAUCGAUAGUUAUCAUCUCAUCGAAAGAUCGGGACACACUCGCCUCUAUCAUAAUGUCUUGACCGAGUUUCAACCUUUUCAUUGUUUUAUCAAGGAUCGGGACACGAGGGACGUUCUUCUUAGAGGUUGACUGCGCCAUGGACCCUAUGCACUUGAUGUGCCGCCUGUCCCUCAGGCUUUCAGCGGCGUGCAUGUGUCGUCUACUCAUUGGCAUGCGCGGCUUGGUCAUCAUGUCACUCGCAUAGUUCGUCAUGUUCUUCAUCGCCAUGAUCUUCCAAUUGUGUCCAAUAAACUUGUUGAAACAGUUUGUGAUGCCUACGAGCAAGGCAAGAGUCAUCAGCUUCCGUUUUCAGAGUCGAGUCGUGUAGUUAGAACUCCACUUCAGCUUGUGUUUUCUUAUGUGUGGGUUCAUGCCCAAACAUCUAUUAGUGGCCAUAAUUACUAUGUCAGUUUUAUUGAAAGGAGCGAAUAUAACAAGCACUUGGACAAACAAAUGUGGUUGGCGUUAGAGCAAAACCAAGCAUUCGAGAGGUGAUUAACCCAACAAGUGUCGUCAUCAAGCAUAGCAUAUGGUUUGACAAAGAAGUGUGGCAUGGCAUUUAAGCAUCUAAAUUGAGCACAAUCAAGGACAUCAUGUAAACGAUCAUGCGAAUGGGAGGUAGAUAUGCUAAUAUGUUUGACAAGAGAACAAGCAUCGACCUCAAGAUCAUAGCAAACAUGCAUAAAGCACUCGACAAAUGGUUGAUGGUAGGCAUAAGAAUCAUUCACAACACCAAAGAAGAUGAUAUGUCUAAACACAUGCAAGUGCAAGACAAUCCAAGCAUAAUGUGCAUAGGGUGUGGUGAAGAUAGUGAGGCACUCAACACAAAUGAGAUAGCAAUUUUGCAACAUGUGCGAGGUAAUCAAGUCAUUCAAGCUAGUAGUGCAAAGAUGCAACAUACGAGAGGAAAUCAUGGCAAUCAUGUCAUGUGAGCAAAUAAUAGGCAUAGGCAAUGCACAUGACAUAUCGUGAGCACGAACACAAAGCAAGAUCAAUGUAUCUUCAUAGGAAAGUAUCACAAAGGAAACAUGGCAAGACCAAGCAAUAUCUCCACCAAGCUUGCAAAUACACAUAGAAGUAGUAGAAUCAAUCAUCAAGUGUAAUGCAAAGCAUGGGUCACAAUUGCAUGGUAAAGGCAUCGGAAUAAGCAUGUCAUGCAAAGUGAACAUGGCAAGAUGGGCAUAUAAUAUGUAAUGGACAAUAACCCAUAGCCAAGUGAGGGCCAUGUAGAAGAAAUGUGCGAAGUCUUCGCACGAAGAGAGCGGUGGGAAAGGCACUGUAGCGACCCGACCCGAAUGGAUCAAGUCUCUGUGCUUAAUUGUCAUCCCUGGAUCGGUAUGCUGACACACACAGUACUCGAUAUAGCGGAAGUAACAACAAAGUUGUGGAUUCCCAUCAACACCAACGGCAACGUUGAGUGUAGACAUCGUAACCCUAAUGUAUUACUUACUCGUCGUAAGAAUCCUGCAACAUGAGACGUUGCAGCCACAAAGGGUCAGUACAUUGAAUGUACUGGCAAAUCCACACCAUAGAGCAAUGAUGAAUAAUAGCUAUCACUACAUGCAUAUUUGGCUGGUGGAGGCUCUAGGUUUAAUUUUGCAUAAAGCCAAAUUUUCCCUACAACAAAGGAAUAUAUUUUAUUUUUCUACAAAAUUCGUUGAAAUAUUGAGAAGGUUCCUCCAACUCAAUCCCAAAAUAAUAAUUAUAACCCACAUUUUAAUUAAUAGAGUGAUGAGAUCAAAUCAAUAAUUCAAGUACCAGAUACUCAAGAUGUCCAUAACCGGGGACACGGCUAAUCAUGAUUAGUUUGUACACCCUGCAGAGGUAUCCGAACUUAGUUUGAGAAAUGGAUGACCGAGACACAGUCUUUCUGAAGAGGUCCCCUUAACCGAUAGAUAGGCCGAUACACCUACAAUCCCUACAUCUGCUAGCCCAUCAUGGAAAGGUUUCCCACAACUUACUCAACUAUGCUAGAGCCCAUAAUGGCUUGUGGCUGCACACGGAAGCUUCUAACAUGAAUAAUUUUAUGAUCCCUUUGAGCCUCAACUAUGCCAGAGCCCAUAAUGGCUUGUGGCUGCACACGGAAGUUUCUAACAUGAAUAAUUUUAUGAUCCCUUUGAGCCUGGGUGGCAAACCAUAGGAUGAUCACACGGGUACUACGGGAUAUCCCAGGACAACGCUGGAUUGCUCCAGGUGCCCAGACAACCACCGGGUGCUCCAGGGUGUCUCAACCAAUCCACCCAGAUGUGUAUUAAAGUAGCCACCUUAAGUUAAACCUUAGUUAACAAUAAUCUCUCACAUCUUUCAUGAAUACACUAAAAGCAAUCCACGUCUACGAGCAUAGCAUAGCAGUAUAGGCAUAACGUAGUACCACCCAGGGUUUGAAAUAAAAGACAAUAGGUUCUACCUCAUCAACUACUUCCCGAUACCCACAUGUUAUCAAGUCCUAACCAUGCAGUGUUUGAGGAUUGAAACUAAUGCAUAAAAACUGGGUAAUAAAGGGGUAUGAUCAAAGUGUUACUUGCCUUGUACUGUUGAUGAAGAUGAUUCGCACUCAAUAUUCCUAACGAACGAACAGCUCACUAAACAGAACUAACGAACGAACGUUCGUUAGAUUAGGAAAAAGAGCGAACGCGUAAACGUCGUCGGAUCUCGAUCCGACGGACGGGAUCGGGGCUAGGGUUUACCGAUACUCCGGCGAGGUCGACGGACGGCCGCGGCUCUGGCAUGUGGCUGCGGGAGGCGGCGAGCGGCGUGAGAGGCGGCGCGGGCUAGGCAGCGACGGCGGCGCAGCACCUCGGCGGCGGCGAGCGACUAGCGGCGACGGCGAAUGGCGGCUGUGCGGCGGCGAGAUGCGGCGGUGGUGACGCUAUGCUCGGGCGGCGGGGCGGCUCGGGAGGAGGCGAGGGGUGGCGUCCUCGCCUUUUAAAGGCGGAGGGGGAGGGCGUGGCUUGGAGGAGGGGCCGGGUCGGCGCCCGAGUCCGGAGACGGCACUACGGCACCGGCGUGCUCGGGCGGGACUCCGCCCGGAGUCGGAGGCGAGCGGGGCGCGCGGGUGCGCUGGGUGGGCCGUGGCCUGGCCCGGUUGGUUGGGUCGGCCCAGUCCGCGGAGGAAGUUUUUUUUAAUAAACACAUAGUAAAAGAAAAAAAUGAAAAACCACAUAAAAUUAAAAUAUAAUAUAGGCAUAUUAUAUAUCACAAUUUUCAUAAAAGGAUCUUCUACAACUUGAACAUUUUUCUACCGUCAAAUAAAAUCCACAAAAAUUUAAAUAAAAUAAAGAGUGCUACCGAUUUAUUUAAAACUCAAUAAAAAUCAUUUUAAAAAUACCAAAAUGAUUUCAAAUUUAUUUCUCUCCAAUUUUCUAUUGUAGGUAAUCGUUUUACCCUAAUUUUCAUAUAUAUUAUUUUUGGAGAAAAAUAAUUUGAAAAAAAAACAAAUAACUCCAAAUUGAAAAUAAUUUCAAAGGGACUUUAAUUUUGAUUCUUUUAAACUCCCAACUCAUAUUUCAUACGAUUUGAAGAAGUCAUUUUAUCUUCUCUCAUGAAAAUCAUUGAGUUGCUUAAAGUUUCUGAAUUGAAUUGUUUCCAAAUGAAAUUCAAAUCUUUUUCAAAAACCCUUUUUCAUUUAAUUAAAUGGAAGAAGUCAUAUCAUCUUCUCUCUAGGGUUUUGUGAUGAAAUGAAAUUUGAAUUCAUGGAGAUCAUAAAUGCAAGGUGAAAGUUUGGGAAAGUCAUUUCAUUCCCUCUCAUUCAACUUUCAAAAGUUUCAAAUUUCACUCAAUUUCACACAAGCAACCACACCACAAUCAAACAAACAAUCAAAACUAUCUAUUUGAUAUAACAUUCCAAAAUUUAGAAUUUGGGGAUGUUACAAACCUGGCACCUUUAAAAUGAAUCUCGUCCUUGAGAUUCGGAGAGGCUAGAAAGAAAUAUGUUAGGUUCGGGGGUCUUCUCGAAAUCCAUCAAUCGUCACAGGGGGUCUGGGGUGCUACCAUCCUUAGAAACAUGGUCACGGUUCCAUCAAAACUCAUAUACUUCAUUCUUAUUGUUGGUAGUGUCGAUCUUCUGAGAUCUUCAGGAUAAUUCCUUCUUUGGGCUCUUCCGGUAGUGGCGUAACCUUUUUCCUUGAUUCUUCUAUCUUUUUAUCGAGGUACCUUUCUUCUGUGACUGGGUCUUCUUAGCUAACGGGUCUGGCGCCAAUACUAAACAACUAUCGAUAUCUCAUGGUGGUCAUCAAACAAUCUGACUGGGUCCCUGCAGAAAACAGGUCUGGGCUUCAUUCUCACCGUAUGGCCUACGAUUGGCAACAGCUGCCUUGUACAAGGGGGAAAUUGUCAUACCAUUCUAAGGUUUAAACAAGGUUUUGAUCGUCGUCGCUCUACUAUGGGUAAGUCACUCAGAUUUACCAUUCCAUAUAGCAAGGCGAAUAAUAAGAGUAAGUCGGUAUGGUGAUCAAUCCAUCCCGCACCCAAAUCAUUACCUUGUAUAUGGUUUAGUGAAUCUCGCAUUCUAACACUCGGUCAUCCUCACAAGCAUUGCAGAAUUUCUCUUGUCGACGAACUAAGUUCGGAUAAAUCCAUGGAUUCUGCAAGCCAAACAAACAUCUAUCGUUUCUUCACAACUCUCAGGUUUGCGUUGCUCCUAUAAGAAUCGUCUGUUGAUAAACGUAACUUCUUCCCGGGUUUUCCUUUAGCAAGAGUGUGCUUGCUUCUUGGCAGGUCCUGCGGCCUGUGGCUUAUGGCCCAUCUCAUCACUUGUAAACCUUGAACUCAUCAUUGGGGCAACUCAUCAUUAUUCCAACAUCCAGCUUUCUAGCAUUCUUAAAUCCAUCCAAUUGUAUUGUCUCCUUUCCUUCUAUUGGUACCUAACUAAGACGUGAUUACUCAGACUCACCAUAGAGUUACAAUUGCUCCAUAUUGCCAACAUUCUACCUCCUUUAUAUCCAAUAGUACUUCAUCCCUUCAUACUCUUGGGGUAUCCCACAUAUCAAGAUAAAACUCGUACUUAUUUUGUCUGAAAUCCACUCCAUGGAAUAUCAUUAUAUUUUCCAGGGGUCAAGGGUCCUCACAGGGUACUACCACCCCUUGAAAUGCACAAACUCAUCCAUAGACCAUAUUUGUCAUAUCCUCGAAAAAUGGUCAAAAUCUUUCUUCAUAGAGUAACAACUCAUAAAAUCCAAAUCAGUACCAACGAUGCUAACUCUAUUGAUUCUCCAAUUAUUACAAUCUCCUGCAUUUCCAUUACAUGCCUCAACUCAACAUCUCAAUAUAAAAGAAUUGUUCCCACACUACUUCUAUAUUUCUCACAGACUCAACUAUUUAACACAAGCCUCCUUCUCUUUGGGACAAUCUCUGGCAAAGUGCCCUACUUCAUUACAAUGGAAACAUAUUACUUCUGACAGUUCUCGUAGUUUCCUUGUGAUUACAUAGCCUCCUUGGGUCCUCGGCUUUCUUUUAGGGCAACCGCUGAAGUAGUGCCCUGACUCCUUGCAUCUGAAACAGGUGAUAUGACUCAGGUCCUUCCUGGAAUCCAAUCUAUUUCUCUUCCUGGACUUUUCCGUUCCAAUUAGGGCUUCUAUUUCCUGUCGGUCAUACUCUACUUCUUCUAUCGGGAAUUCUACUAGGUCCCCAUUCAGACAAUUUUGGGAGAUGUGUCCUUAUUCUCCACAUGAAUAGCAAGACUUGGUGCAGGGUUUAGUUGGGUAUUCUUCGGGUGUGUCCUAUUUCUCCACAGAGCUUGCAUGCACCAGGUUUCUUCAUAUCAUUACCAUAAGGCUUCAACUUCUGGAACACCAGCCGAGACUUUAGCAGAGUCAACUUAAAUCCUUUCCAAGUGGUUACUCUUUGCCAUCCAUUGAUGGUUUGGUACAUCCUCCACCAAGUAGCAGCACCUCUUUCAAAGUACUGAAGAGCAUGAUGGGCCAUAUCGUUUCCGGCUAUAGUGUUAUUCUUCAUGUGAUCUUCCAUGUUCUGAAUCCAUCGGUCCGUCUCCAAUUGAGUCCUUGAUCCAGAAAAUAUGCGUUCAUCUCCAUUCAUCCUCUAUUGGUUCCGAGGGUUUUGGGGUGAGAUAAGAGAGAUAGAGAGGGAUACACACAAUACAAACAAUAGUUAUGAAAAGAUAGUUUUUUUAUUUUGUGGCUGUCGAAAAAAACAUCAAACAAAUGACAGCUCACAAUCGUCGCAUCUCACGUAGGUAUAUAAGAGGGGUUUGGUCUUCUAAAGGUCAAUAAAUCUUCAAGGUCGCCAAACUCUUCAAGUCUUGUUCAUGUCUCCGAUGGCUUCUUCCGAUCAUGCUUGUCCUUCUUCAGUUCAAUUUGCCAGAUCAUCUCUGUUGACGCAAAGUCUCUCGUGACGUCCUUUAAUAUUUCUGGAGUUGCAUUCUAAACUUCUGGGUUUCAACAUCAUUGGCAUGAACCAUGGUCCUACUGUCCUUCAGUUCCUGACGAAUCUCCGAUAUCUCGAGGUUUUGCUCCUCUAGCUUGGCUAUUUUCAGCUUCUAGGUCCCGAGUUCUUCACGAAAUGCUUCCUUGUCAAAACGGCUUCCUGAAGGUCCAUCUUAAAAUUAUUGAUGUAAUACUCCAGAUCCUGGCGAUACACCAGCUAAGGUUAAAACUUCAUCUUUUGCUGAUAGGUGCUCCAUUAGCCCAUUUGUCAUCCAAUCCUUCCGAAGAAAUGCAUGCUUAACUCAGCACGGUGACAAUAGCAUGAGCGGGCGAUAACAUCAUGGAUAGCCGUGUUUAUGCCCAUGUCUCUGCCAUGAGCUAUCAUUCCAUAUUUGAUAUCUCCUACCUUGGGGUUUUCUUGGCAAAAACUUUGACUCUAAUACUCCAUGUUCCGGGUUUUUUCUGUGCCACACCUUGAUCUCGGAUAUUGACAGCUUCAAUAGUCUGACAAGUUCCAUUAGGGUAGCCUUCCUAGGUCAUACCAAUCUGCAAAUUCUACAGAGCCUUCAAAUUCUCCUAGUAUUUGGAGUCUUCAACCGUUGUAGUUUCCAUUAUUGUAAUGCUCGGUAAAAUCCUCUUCAUUCCGAAGUGGUCUUAGUUGUCCGAUAUCUUGUACUUCUUGGAGUGGUCUCAUCAGUCGAAUCUUUGUGUGGUCAAAAGGGGAAAGGGUAUAGUCUAACUAAAAGGGAAUAUUUUGAUAAAGCUCAGAAAAGAAGAGAGGUAAAAGAUCUUUUUGAGAAUAAAGUUUUAGAGAAAAAUCUUUCCUAUGGGAUUGCCAGUUUCUAGGGGUCACGUCCUACAGUCAACAUGUGCUCUGAUACCAUCUUGUAGCGACCCGACCCGAAUGGAUCAAGUCGCUGUGCUUAAGUGUCAUCCCUGGAUCGGUAUGCUGACACACACAGUACUCGAGGAUUUAUAACAGAGGUAAAUCACAUGUAUAAAGUAACGUAAAUACUAUUACCUCAAUCCAUAUAGCGGUAGUAACAACAAAGUUGUGGAUUCCCAUCAACACCAACGGCAAAGUUGAGUGUAGACAUCGUAACCCUAACGUAUCACUUACUCGUCGUAAGAAUCCUGCAACAUGAGACGUUGCAGCCACAAAGGGUCAGUACAUUGAAUGUACUGGCAAAUUCACACCAUAGAGCAAUGAUGAAUAAUAGCUAUCACUACAUGCAUAUUUGGCUGGUGGAGGCUCUAGGUUUAAUUUUUCAUAAAGCCAAUUUUUUCCUACAAUAAAGGAAUAUAUUUUAUUUUUCGACAAAAUUCGUUGAAAUAUUGAGAAGGUUCCUCCAACUCAAUCCCAAAAUAAUAAUUAUAACCCGCAUAUUAAUUAAUAGAGUGAUGAGAUCAAAUCAAUAAUUCAAGUACCAGAUACUCAAGAUGUCCAUAACCGGGGACACGGCUAAUCAUGAUUAGUUUGUACACUCUGCAGAGGUUUGCGCACUUUUCCCCACAAGAAUCGAUCUCCUCCAUUGAAUUUCUCACACUACAUGAUGUUUGAGAAAUGGAUGACCGAGACACAGUCUUUCCGAAGAGGUCCCCUUAACCGAUAGAUAGGCUGAUACACCUACAAUCCCCUAAAUCUGGUACCCAUCAUGCAAAGGUUUCCCACAGCUUACUCAACUAUGCCAGAGCCCAUAAUGGCUUGUGGCUGCACACGGAAGUUUCUAGCAUGAAUAAUUUUAUGAUCCCUUUGAGCCUGUGUGGCAAACCAUAGGAUGAUCACACGGGUACUCCGGGAUAUCCCAGGACAACGCUGGAUUGCUCCAGGUGCCCGGACAACCACUGGGUGCUCCAGGGUGUCUCAACCAAUCCACCCAGAUGUGUAUUAAAGUAGCCACCUUAAGUUAAACCUUAAUUAACAAUAAUAUCUCACAUCUUUCAUGAAUACACUCAAACCAAUCCACGUCUACGAGGAUAGCAUAGCAGUAUAGGCAUAACGUAGGAACACCCAAGGUUUGAAAUAAAAGACAAUAGGUUCUACCUCAUCAACUACUUCUUGAUACCCACAUGUUAUCAAGUCCUAACCAUGCAGUGUUUGAGGAUUGAAACUAAUGCAUAAAAACUGGGUAAUAAAGGGGUAUGAUCAAAGUGUUACUUGCCUUGUACUGUUGAUGAAAAUGGUUCAGACUCAAUAUUCCUGAUGGUUCUAUUCGUCACACUUCGUUCAAUCUAUCGAGAGCAAGCAAUUGCAUACAUAAGCACUCAUGCAAAAGAAUCGAAGAAAGAUCUCGGAAACCUUCGAAAACAAGCAAUUAACUCUUGCAACAUAAAACAAUUUCUAACAGUACGAAAAUUGGGUGAAUUUGGCCUUAUCAGAAAGUUUAGGUCAAGAGCUUCGAUUUGCAAAAAGAAUCAACUAAAUCGGAGUUGUAAAACUCAAGUUAUGAACAAAAGAAGUUUGAAUUCAAAUAUGUUUGAAAUCAAAUUUUAAACUUUCAAAAAAAAAUGUUUAAGUUGGUUAUCUGGAUAGAGGGGAUCAUAAUGAAGAAGUGGGCGUUGGUUUCGUUGGAUUUGGAAAAACGUGUAAAAAGUAGUGAGAGUUUUAAGAUCAGGGGCUAAUCUAUGAAUAAAUUAUUCACAAACAGGUCCCUGGCAGAAAAUAAAAAAACGAAAAGUCUAACGAGCGAACGCUCGCUACGGAACCCUAACGAACGAACAGUUUGCUAAAAAGAACUAACGAACGAACAUUCGUUAGAUUAGGAAAAACAGCGAACGCGUAAACGUCGUUGGAUCUCGAUCCGACGGAUGGGAUCGGGGCUAGGGUUUACCGAUACUAAGGCGAGGUCGGCGGACGGCGGCGGCAGCGGCUCUGGCGUGCGGCUGCGGGAGGCGNNNNNNNNNNNNNNNNNNNNNNNNNNNNNNNNNNNNNNNNNNNNNNNNNNNNNNNNNNNNNNNNNNNNNNNNNNNNNNNNNNNNNNNNNNNNNNNNNNNNNNNNNNNNNNNNNNNNNNNNNNNNNNNNNNNNNNNNNNNNNNNNNNNNNNNNNNNNNNNNNNNNNNNNNNNNNNNNNNNNNNNNNNNNNNNNNNNNNNNNNNNNNNNNNNNNNNNNNNNNNNNNNNNNNNNNNNNNNNNNNNNNNNNNNNNNNNNNNNNNNNNNNNNNNNNNNNNNNNNNNNNNNNNNNNNNNNNNNNNNNNNNNNNNNNNNNNNNNNNNNNNNNNNNNNNNNNNNNNNNNNNNNNNNNNNNNNNNNNNNNNNNNNNNNNNNNNNNNNNNNNNNNNNNNNNNNNNNNNNNNNNNNNNNNNNNNNNNNNNNNNNNNNNNNNNNNNNNNNNNNNNCGGGUGCGCUUGCUGGGCCGUGGCCUGGCCCAGUCCGCGGAGGAAGUUUUUUUUUAAUAAACACACAGUAAAAGAAAAAAAGAAAAACCACAUAAAAUUAAAAUAUAAUAUAGGCAUAUUAUAUAUCAAAAUUUUCAGAAAAAGAUCUUCUACAACUUGAACAUUUUUCUACCGUCAAAUAAAAUCCACAAAAAUUUAAAUAAAAUAAAGAGUGCUACCGAUUUAUUUAAAACUCAAUAAAAAUCAUUUUAAAAAUACCAAAAUGAUUUCAAAUUUAUUUCUCUCCAAUUUUCUAUUGUAGGUAAUCGUUUUACCCUAAUUUUCAUAUAUAUUAUUUUUGGAGAAAAAUAAUUUGAAAAAAAAAACAAAUAACUCCAAAUUGAAGAUAAUUUCAAAGGGACUUUAAUUUUGAUUCUUUUAAACUCCCAACUCAUAUUUCAUACGAUUUGAAGAAGUCAUUUUAUCUUCUCUCAUGAAAAUCAUUGAGUUGCUUAAAGUUUCUGAAUUGAAUUAUUUCCAAAUGAAAUUCAAAUAUUUUUCAAAAACCCUUUUUCAUUUAAUUAAAUGGAAGAAGUCAUAUCAUCUUCUCUCUAGGGUUUUGUGAUGAAAUGAAAUUUGAAUUCAUGGAGAUCAUAAAUGCAAGGUGAAAGUUUGGGAAAGUCAUUUCAUUCCCUCUCAUUCAACUUUCAAAAGUUUCAAAUUUCACUCAAUUUCACACAAGCAACCACACCACAAUCAAACAAACAAUCAAAACUAUCUAUUUAAUAUAACAUUCCAAAAUUUAGAAUUUUGGGAUGUUACAGGCACUCCAUGGGAUCCCAAGUCAUCAUUGCUCUCUAGAGCUCGUUUUGUCAACUCAUGGGAUUGUGAGGUUGACAAGUAUUCAUGAGUAGCUACACAAAAGAGACACAAACCAAAGAAAUUGUGUGUGUGGUAAAUGUACACAUCAUCCAUCAUGAUGUGUAUGUGCUCGUGAGAGUUAGCACAAGAUAAGUAUCGCUCAAAGAAAUUGGAAACAUGGUAUAUAAACAUGUCAUCCAUCAUGAAAGAAUAGUUGUUAGGUAUAACAUGAUUGUGAUGCGAAUUUAGCGUACAAGUAUAUGGCACAUCAAUAUCAUUUUCAUUCAUGGGGAGCAUAUGGUGCACAUAAGUAGUGGGAUCAUGCAAUGGAUAGGAUGAAUCAAAAUCUCCUAAAAUGUAUGACGAAACUAUGGGGGUCUCCUCAUGAGCAUAGUGGAAACAUCAUAUGGAGAAUAUGAACAACAUCCAAAACAAUGCAUAUCCGAAGCUAGGUGGUCAUGGCAUGGCAUAUGUGAUAAAUGAUGCAAAGGGAGCAUAUCAAUAUCAUCACAAGAGAAACAAAUGCCAAUAACCAUGGGCUUGUCAUCUAUCCCAUAUGUGCAAAUUGGGUUUAUGUUGAUGGCAUAUGCAUAGUCACUACGAUGAGAUUGCAAAUAUGACAUAUUGUUGAUCUCAUGCAUAGCAUAUGACAAGUCAAACGGAUUGUCAAACAUGAUGUGACCGAGAGAAUUAUCACAAGAAAUCCUAUGUAACAUGGCAUCGCAACUAAUAGACUCCACAUGGCAAUCAUCAAACUCAUCAUAAAUGGGUAAAUCAUCGCAUGGGGAAGUCGAACUAGCAUGAAGCAUGACAAUAGGUGGAUCAACAUCAUGCAAGCACUCAAUGUCGAGAAUGUCCACUAGUGGGACUAGAGCAUCACCUUCACCUAUAUUACCUUGCUCAUUCCACUCAAGUGGUGUAGGUGAGGUGGCAAAGACCAAAUGGUGGUCAUCAUCUUCAUCUUGAUGGAACCAUGUGGGGUGCAUCAUGUUCCACCAUGGCCAUUGUCUUGUCCAUAGGAAGGACGAAGUCGUCGCGGAUCGGCGCAUCAUCAUAUAUGGGACCUAGCACCAAAUGAGAAGACACAAUAGAGGUAGAGGUUAAGUUAUUAGAAAUCGAAAUGGCCUCACAUGCCCUAUCAACUACCUCACUCUCUCUAUGUGGUGGUGGCUCACUCGCUCCCUCAAGGUAGGUGCACUCAAUGUCACAUAUGGUGGAGUCACUCAAAUCACUCAAGUGGUGGUGGUGGUGGCUCUCCUCACAUGGGAAUUAGGGCAGCUCAUCAUAUAUGGGGCUAGUGGUGAAUUCACUCUCACUCUCAAUAUGGUGGCAAUAGUCACUCAAGUCAUCAUACAUCGCCAUGGUCGAAGGGAAGAUCCCAUGCUCAACCAUCUCGUAGUCGUUGUCGUGGAUGAAGGCCGAAGAUGGCACAUCAUCACUCUCGUCGUGGGUGAAGGCCGAAGAUGGCACAACAUCCCUCUCGCCAUGGAUGAAGGCCGAAGAUGGCACAUCAUCACUCUCCUCCAUGACCGAAGGGAAAAUCCCAUGCUCGAUCAUCUCGUCACCGUCGCCGUGGAUGAAGGCUGAUGUAGGCGUACUCGUCGGAGGUAGGCAAAGAUGUCGUACGUCCAAAGGCGAAGAUGCCUUGAUAACACUUGGCGAAGAUGCCGAAGUGGUGGUAGUAGCCGUAGCUUCCUCUCGGUGGUGAAGAUGUUGUAGUCGAUGGCGCUCUUCGUCGCCAUACACCUUGGGCUUGCGGUCAUCUUGGCGGUCGUCUUGAAGAUGAUGACGGUGCCGCGUGGUACUCUCAUCGUGUGGCUGUUUCAAAGACUUGCAACUGGAGCGUCUCUGCCUUGAAGAUGACAAAGAGGAAGAAGACUUGUAGUUGGCCCACACGUGUCGGAUGUCAUCCAAUUGUGCGUCGAACUUGGUGUUGAUGUAGUCCCUUUUCCGUGCUUCGCUUUGGUGAAUGUCGACGGUGAGUCACUCAAUGCCUCGCAUUGCUCGUUGCAGUCCGAAGAUGGACGUUUUGGUGAUGUAGUUGUUCGCGUCGUCGUUGUCGUGGAAGACCGGAGAUGAAAUGCCUUGCCUAUCCAUCACAAGAUUCAAGCAGAUGUGACUGGAAGAAAGGAAAGAACUAGACCAAAUGUACCUUUCCAAUGUUGAAGAUGGAUCAAUGAUCACUCAAUAAUGUGUCAAGGAAAUAGCACAAUUGGUACCGGAUCUUGUCAAUUCUCACACCUACACAAGUAAGGCUUAUGGUGGAGCUCGGUGAGGAUAGUGGCACAAAAAUUUGAUGCAAAAUGUUAGCAAGAGUCAAUAUGUUGAAAAAGAUUCACAAAUUCGCAAGUGAAACAAGUAGACCAAUAGCAAUGGGUGACAUACGAAAACACACACAUAUAGAUAAAUGGGGUCGUGCAACCAGGGAAUGAGCACAAAAUAUGGAAUCCACAGAAAACGCUCGUGUUGCACAACUCUAGAGAGACGCUAGCACGAUUUCUCAGUAGGCAGAUACGACACUUGUGCACAACCUAGAAGAUGAAAAAUGUAUCAACUUUCUAUCCCAAGUAUGCUAUAUAUGUAUGAUGUUCCGGUGUUUCGCAUACGAUGAUCCAAGAUGAUCCAUAUGGUAGUAUGGUAUGCAAUGUGGCGAUGCUAUGGCUCUUGCUUACAAGCUUCUUUGCUCUCUUUUUGCUUAAAAGCUUAUUCUUUUUUUUUGUUUUUUUUGUAUGGCCACUAUGCGAAAUGCACAAACCAAGAUAGCAAUUGUGUAUAUGCAGGAACAAUCUUGUGACACAAGGGAUGAUAUGAUGAUACCAAGAUGAUACCAAUGUGAUAUGGUAUGUAUGCAAUGGAAGGUACGGAUCACUAAUGUGCACAAGUAACGUUGCCGGCAAUACUCAAUGGCUAGUCUCGAUAGGCAAGGGACGCAAAAUGGGCUAGGGGUUAACAAUGUAAUGGCAAGAAUGUACAAUGAUGGGAUACCACGAUACCAAGAUGAUAUAGGGGUUACCGUUCUUGCUUACGGUUAGGGUGGGGUGAAGUGGUCAAUGUCGAAUCCUUGGCGAAGAUGAGCGACGGUGUUGUCGAUCUCGAACCGUUCCUAGUUAGCCGAAACACCCUAGGAAACGGAAAAACCGCAAACUCAAAAUCUCAAAGGAAAAUGUCAAAUGGUGGUAGCGGAAUGCUUUCGUGGUUCUGGAGUCUACGAGGGUGCGGGCACCCGGGGUGGUCCGGGGCAAAAAGCCCGGGGGUGCGGGUGCCCGGGUGUUCGGGGUGCGGGCACCCGGGGUGGUCAGCGGGGAUGCACGGGGGGUCCGGGUGCCCGGGGGUCCCGGAUUUGGGCGGAAAAUCAUGGAGAAAUGGAAGAAAUUGGUGGAUUUCAUGGAGGGAAAGGUGAAGAUGGAUGGGGGGAAGGCUAGAUCCACUUGAAACCAAGCAAAUCCAUGGAUCAAAUCCAACAAAACCUCAUCAAACCAACAAAUCACAAAAAACAAUUGAGGCUAUUUUUGGUGGGGAAUUUUCAAAAUUGGGGAAGAACACAACAAAAUUAGGCUAGAGAACAAGAAGGGGGCUCCAAUUUCGUGAGAAACCAUGGCUCAUGACACCAAGAUGUUGUAGGGUGGAACCCUAGGUGAAGAUCUUUCACGAAUUGGAGGGGAAAUCCCCAAGAACAAGAAGAACACAAAGGGGGAAAACAAGAGGAACACUCAAAUUGACUUGAUCCAAUCACACAUGUGCUAGAUCCAAUCACACAAAGAGAGAUACAAGGGUCCAAAUCCAACACAAGAAGAUACAAGAGGUAACUAGUUCAUCCCAAUCCUAUGAGGAGAGAGGUCUUGAUGAUCCUAUGAUGGGGAUCCUUCCCUAGAUGGGGCCUUGAAAUCCACAAGAGGAUCUUCUCCCUUAGGAGGUCAUGAUAUCCAAGAGGAAGAUGAGAAAAGCUCUCUCAAUAUCUCACAUAUACUUUGCUAUCCUUCUAAUGAGAUAGGGAAGGGGUAUAUAUAGUCUAGGGAUGAAAUAGAGGGGAGAGAGGGGUACAAGGGUCAAUUGCCCAAAAUGCACGCAGGUAUAUUCGGAGUCGCCCGGGCACCCGGGGUGCGGAGGACCGGGCACCCGGUCCGGUCAGGAAGGCCGCAGCCAAGUGGUUGUAGGGGCCGGGCACCCGAGGGUUGAUGGCCCGGGCACCCGGUGCGGGCUAGGGCCGAGCCCAGGAGGAGGCCGGGCACCUGGGGGUGAUGGCCCGGGCACCCGGGGUGGCGGAAGGCACCCAGGCGGGGCAGGCCGGGCACCCGGGGCGGCCAGGCGAGGCCCAGGUGGGGCGGCUGGGCACCCGGGAUGGCCUCUGCCAACGCCCAGGUCGGGGCCGGGAACCCGGGGCCGAAGUGGCCGGGCACCUGGGGCGGCCAGGGUCUUCCCCAGCCGGCCGGAGGAGGGGGCCAGGCACCCGGGCUACAGACGGUCGGGCAUCCGGGGUAGUCCGGGGCCUUCCUUGCUUCACGAUUCCUCCAUCCUUCUUCCUUCUUCUUCUCCAUAUGUGCUUGAAUCUCCCUCCUAGCUUCUUCAUGGACUUCUUCUUGGUACCUAAGAAUGCACAACAAUUUCGUUAAUGCACAACAAUUCCGUUUGAGGUAGAACCCGAUUCUCGUGUGAAUUCGAAUGGAUUUCGAAGAGGAAGGAGUCAACCUCGGUUUCGAUGGCACGUCCACGUGCCCUUGUCCUAGGUCCUCUCCGUGCUUGCGGUGGUGGUGUGACGUCCAUGGGGAUGGUCGAGGGAUGCUCCACAUCACUAUCACACCCGAUCAUCACGUGGUGUCUCAGCACGAAGAACUUUCGCAACGGUGCAUACUCAGGGAGAAUACUUAUACCUUGAAAUUUAGUUAAGGGAUCAUCUUAUAAUGCUACCGUCGUACUAAGCAAAAUAAGAUGCAUAUAAAAGAUAAACAUCAGAUGCAAUCUAAAUAUGUGACAUGAUAUGGCCAUCAUCAUCUUGUGCUUUUGAUCUCCAUCUCCAAAGCAUCGUCUGCUGGGGAACGUAGUAAUUUCAAAAAAAUUCCUACGCACAUGCAAGAUCAUGGUGAUGCAUAGCAACGAGAGGGGAGAGUGUCGUCCACGUACCCUCGUAGACCGAAAGCGGAAGCAUUAUGACAACGCGGUUGAUGUAGUCGUACGUCUUCACGAUCCGAUCGAUCCAAGUAUCGAACAUGCGGCACCUCCGAGUUCAGCACACGUUCAGCUCGGUGACGUCCCUCGAACUCACGAUCUAGCAGUGCUCCGAGGGAGAGUUCCGUCAGCACGACGGUGUUAUGACGGUGAUGACGAUGCUACCGACGCAGGGCUUCGCCUAAGCACCGCUACGAUAUGUCCGAGGUGGAUUAUGGUGGAGGGGGCACCGCACACGGCUAAAAGAUCAACUGAUCAACUUGUGUGUCUAUGGGGUGCCCCCUUCCCCGUAUAUAAAGGAGUGGAGGAGGGGGAGGGGGCUGGCCUCCUAGGCGCGCCCCAAUGGGAGUCCUACUCCCACCGGAGUAGGACUCCAACCCUUCCAAGAGUAGGAGUAGGAGGGAAGGAAGGAGGAGAGAGGGGGGAGGAAAAAGGGGGGCGCCCCCCCCCCCUUCCUUGUCCAAUUCAGACUAGAGGGGGAGGGGGCGCGCGGCCUGCCCUGGCCGCCCCUCCUCUUCUCCACUAAGGCCCAAUAGGCCCAUUACACUCCCCGGGGUGUUCUGGUAACCCCCCGGUACUCCGGUAUUUGUCUGAACUUACCCGGAACCCUUCCGAAGUCCAAACAUAGUCAUCCAAUAUAUCGAUCUUUAUGUCUUGACCAUUUCGAGACUCCUCGUCAUGUCCGUGAUCAUAUCCGGGACUCCGAACUACCUUCGGUACAUCAAAACACAUAAACUCAUAAUACCGAUCGUCACCGGACGUUAAGCGUGCGGACCCUACGGGUUCGAGAACUAUGUAGACAUGACUGAGACACGUCUCCGGUCAAUAACCAAUAGCAGAAACUGGAUGCUCAUAUUGGCUCCUACAUAUUCUACGAAGAUCUUUAUCGGUAAAACCGCAUAACAACAUACGUUGUUCCCUUUGUCAUCGGUAUGUUACUUGCCCGAGAUUCGAUCGUCGGUAUCUCAAUACCUAGUUCAAUCUCGUUACCGCAAGUCUCUUUACUCUUUCCGUAAUACAUCAUCCCACAACUAACUUAUUAGUUGCAUUGCUUGCAAGGCUUAUAGUGAUGUGUAUUACCGAGAGGGCCCAGAGAUACCUCUCCGACAAUCGGAGUGACAAAUCCUAAUCUCAAUCUAUGCCAACUCAACAAGUACCAUCGGAGACACCUGUAGAGCACCUUUAUAAUCACCCACUUACAUUGUGACAUUUGGUAGCACACAAAGUGUUCCUCCGGUGUUCGGGAGUUGCAUAAUCUCAUAGUCAUAGGAACAUGUAUAAGUCAUGAAAAAAGCAAUAGCAACAUACUAAACGAUCAAAUGCUAAGCUAACGAGAUGGGUCAAGUCAAUCACAUCAUUCUCUAAUGAUGUGAUCCCGUUAAUCAAAUGACAACUCAUGUCUAUGGUUAGGAAACUUAACCAUCUUUGAUUCAACGAGCUAGUCAAGUAGAGGCAUACUAGUGACACUCUAUUUGUCUAUGUAUUCACACAUGUACUAAGUUUCCGUUUAAUACAAUUCUAGCAUGAAUAAUAAACAUUUAUCAUGAUAUAAGGAAAUAUAAAUAACAACUUUAUUAUUGCCUCUAGGGCAUAUUUCCUUCAGUCUCCCACUUGCACUAGAGUCAAUAAUCUACUUCACAUCGCCAUGUGAUUUAACACCAAUAGUUCACAUCACCAUGUGAUUAAUAUCCAUAGUUCACAUCGCCAUGUGGCCAACACUCAAAGGUUUUAUUAGAGUCAGUAAUCUAGUUCACAUCGCCAUGUGAUUAACACCCAAAGAGUACUAAGGUGUGAUCAUGUUUUUCUUGUGAGAGAAGUUUAGUCAACGGGUCUGCCAAAUUCAGAUCCAUAUGUAUUUUGCAAAUUUCUAUGUCUACAAUGCUCUGCACGGAGCUACUCUAGCUAAUUGCUCCCACUUUCAAUAUGUAUCCAGAUUGAGACUUAGAGUCAUCUGGAUCAGUGUCAAAACUUGCAUACACGUAACCCUUUACGACGAACCUUUUGUCACCUCCAUAAUCGAGAAACAUAUCCUUAUUCCACUAAGGAUAAUUUUGACCGCUGUUCAGUGAUCUACUCCUAGAUCACUAUUGUACUCCCUUGCCAAACUCAGUGUAGGGUAUACAAUAGAUCUGGUACACAGCAUGGCAUACUUUAUAGAACCUAUGGCUGAGGCAUAGAGAAUGACUUUCAUUCUCUUUCUAUCUUCUGCCGUGGUCGGGCUUUGAGUCUUACUCAAUUUCACACCUUGUAACACAGGCAAGAACUCUUUCUUUGACUAUUCCAUUUUGAACUACUUCAAAAUCUUGUCAAGGUAUGUACUCAUUGAAAAAACUUAUCAAGCGUCUUGAUCUAUCUCUAUAGAUCUUGAUGCUCAAUAUGUAAGCAGCUUCACCGAGGUCUUUCUUUAAAAAACUCCUUUCAAAUACUCCUUUAUGCUUUCCAAAAAAUUCUACAUUAUUUCCAAUCAACAAUAUGUCAUUCACAUAUAUUUAUUAGAAAUGUUGUAGUGCUCCCACUCACUUUCUUGUAAAUACAGGCUUCACCGCAAGUUUGUAUAAAACUAUAUGCUUUGAUCAACUCACCAAGCGUAUAUUCCAACUCCGAGAUGCUUGCACCAGUCCAUAGAUGGAUCGCUGGAGCUUGCACAUUUUGUUAGCACCUUUAGGAUCGACAAAACAUUAUGGUUGCAUCAUAUACAACUCUUCUUUAAGAAAUCCAUUAAGGUAUGUAGUUUUGACAUCCAUUUGCCCGAUUUCAUAAAAUGUGGCAAUUUGCUAACAUGAUUCGGACAGACUUAAGCAUCGCUACGAGUGAGAAAAUCUCAUCAUAGUCAGCACCUUGAACUUUGUCAAAACCUUUUUCGACAAGUCUAGCUUUGUAGAUAGUAACACUACUAUCAGCGUCCGUCUUCCUCUUGAAGAUCCAUUUAUUUUCUAUGGCUUGCCGAUCAUCGGGCAAGUCAACCAAAGUCCACACUUUGUUCUCAUACAUGGAUCCCAUCUCAGAUUUCAUGGCCUCAAGCCAUUUCGCGGAAUCUGGGCUCAUCAUCGCUUCCUCAUAGUUCGUAGGUUCGUCAUGGUCAAUAACAUGACCUCCAGAACAAGAUUACCGUAUCACUCUGGUGCGGAUCUCACUCUGGUUGACCUACGAGGUUUGGUAGUAACUUGAUCUGAAGUUACAUGAUCAUCAUCAUUAGCUUCCUCACUAAUUAGUGUAGGAGUCACAGGAACAGAUUUCUGUGAUGAACUACUCUCCAAUAAGGGAGCAGGUACAAUUACCUCAUCAAGUUCUACUUUCCUCCCACUAACUUCUUUCGAGAGAAACUCCUUCUCUAGAAAGGAUCCAUUCUUAGCAACGAAUGUCUUGCCUUCGGAUCUGUGAUAGAAGGUGUACCCAACUGUCUCCUUUGGGUAUCCUAUGAAGACACAUUUCUCCGAUUUGGGUUUCAGCUUAUCAGGAUGAAACUUUUUCACAUAAGCAUCACAACCCCAAACUUUAAGAAACGACAACUUUGGUUUCUUGCCAAACCACAGUUCAUAUGGUGUCGUCUCAACGGAUUUAGAUGGUGCCCUAUUUAACGUGAAUGCAGUUGUCUCUAAUGCAUAACCCCAAAACGAUAGUGGUAAAUUGGUAAGAGACAUCAUAGAUUGCACCAUAUCUAAUAAAGUACGGUUACGAUGUUCGGACACACCAUUAUGCUGUGGUAUUCCAGGUGGUGUGAGUUGCAAAACUAUUCCGCAUUGUUUCAAAUGAAGACCAAACUCGUAACUCAAAUAUUCUCCUCCACGAUCAGAUCGUAGAAACUUUAUUUUCUUGUUACGAUGAUUUUCCACUUCACUCUGAAAUUAUAUGAACUUUUCAAAUGUUUCAGACUUAUGUUUCAUCAAGUAGAUAUACCCAUAUCUGCUAAAAUCAUUUGUGAAGGUCAGAAAAUAACGAUACCCGCCGCGAGCCUCAACACUCAUCGGAUCGCAUACAUCAGUAUGUAUUAUUUCCAAUAAGUCAGUUGCUCGCUCCAUUGCUCCGGAGAACGGAGUCUUAGCCAUCUUGCCCAUAAGGCAUGGUUUGCAAGCAUCAAGUGAUUCCAAAAUCCCAUCAGCAUGGAGUUUCUUCAUGCGCUUUACACCAAUAUGACCUAAACGGCAGUGCCACAAAUAAGUUGCACUAUCAUUAUUAACUUUGCAUCUUUUGGCUUCAAUAUUAUGAAUAUGUGUAUCACUACGAUCGAGAUCCAACAAACCAUUUUCAUUGGGUGUAUGACCAUAGAAGGUUUUAUUCAUGUAAACAAAACAACAAUUAUUCUCUAACUUAAAUGAAUAACCGUAUUGCAAUAAACAUGAUCAAAUCAUAUUCAUGCUCAAGGCAAACACCAAAUAACACUUAUUUAGGUUCAACACUAAUCCCGAAAGUAUAGGGCGUGUGCGAUGAUGAUCAUAUCAAUCUUGGAACUACUUCCAACACACAUCGUCACCUUGCCCUUAACUAGUUUCUGUUCAUUCUGCAACUCCCGUUUCGAGUUACUACUCUUAGCAACUGAACCAGUAUCAAAUGUCGAGGGGUUGCUAUAAACACUAGUAAAGUACACAUCAAUAACAUGUAUAUCCAAUAUACCUUUGUUCACUUUGCCAUCCUUCUUAUCCGCCAAGUAUCUAGGGCAGUUCCACUUCCAGUGACCAUUUCCUUUGCAGUAGAAGCACUCAGUUUCAGGCUUGGGUCUAGCUUUGGGCUUCUUCACGGGAGCAGCAACUUGCUUGCCGUUCUUUUUGAAGUUCCCCUUAUUCCCUUUGCCUUUUGUUGAAACUAGUGGUCUUGUCAACCAUCAACACUUGAUGCUUUUCUUGAUUUCUACCUUCGUUGAUUUCAGCAUCACGAAGAGCUUGGGAAUCAUUUCCGUUAUCCCUUGCAUAUUAUAGUUCAUCAUGAAGUUCUAGUAACUUGGUGAUAGUGACUAGAGAACUCUGUCAAUCACUAUCUUAUCUGUAAGAUUAACUCCCACUUGAUUCAAGUGAUUGUAGUACUCAGACAUUCUGAGCACAUGCUCACUAGCUGAGCUAUUCUCCUCCAUCUUGUAGGCAAAGUACUUGUCAAAGGUCUCAUACCUUUCAACAUGGGCAUGAGUCUGAAAUACUAAUUUCAACUCUUGGAACAUCUCAUAUGCUCCGUGGUGUUUAAAAAACAUCUUUGAAGCCCCGAUUCUAAGCCGUAAAGCAUGGUGCACUAAACUAUCAAGUAGUCAUCAUAUCGAGCUUGCCAAACGUUCAUAACGUUUGCAUCUGCUCCUGCAAUCGGUCUGUCACCUAGCGGUGCAUCAAGGACAUAAUUCUUCUAUGCAGCAAUGAGGAUAAUCCUCAGAUCACGGAUCCAAUCCGCAUCAUUGCUACUAACAUUUUUCUGUUGGGGAACGUAGUAAUUUCAAAAAAAAUCCUACGCACACGCAAGAUCAUGGUGAUGCAUAGAAACGAGAGGGGAGAGUGUGUCCACGUACCCUCGUAGACCGAAAGCAGAAGCGUUAGCACAACGCGAUUGAUGUAGUCGUACGUCUUCAUGAUCCGACCAAUCAAGUACCGAACGCACGGCACCUCCGAGUUCAGCACACGUUCAGCUCGAUGACGUCCCUCGAACUCCGAUCCAGCCGAGCUUUGAGGGAGAGUUCCGUCAGCACGACGGCGUGGUGACGAUGAUGAUGUUCUACCGACGCAGGGCUUCGCCUAAGCACCGCUACAAUAUUAUCGAGGUGGAUUAUGGUGGAGGGGGGCACCGCACACGGCUAAGAGAUCAAGAGAUCAAUUGUUGUGUCUAUGGGGUGCCCCCCUGCCCCCGUAUAUAAAGGAGCAAGGGAGGGAGAGGCGGCCGGCCAGGAGGAGGCGCGCCAGGAGGAGUCCUACUCCCACCGGGAGUAGGACUCCCUCCUUUCCAAGUUGGAGUAGGAGAAGGGGGAAGGAGGAGGGAGAGAGGAAGGAAAGGGGGCGCCCCCCUCCUUGUCCAAUUCGGACUAGAGGGGGAGGGGGCGCGACCUGCCCUGGCCGCCCCUCCUCUUCUCCACUAAGGCCCAUGUUGGCCCAUUAAACCCCCGGGGGAGUUUCGGUAACCCCCGGUACUCCGGUAAAAUCCUGAUUUCACCCGGAACACUUCCGAUAUCCAAAUAUAGGCUUCCAAUAUAUCAAUCUUUAUGUCUCGACAAUUUCGAGACUCCUAUCAUGUCCGUUAUCACAUCCGGGACUCCGAACUAUCUUCAGUACAUCAAAACACAUAAACUCAUAAUAUAACCGUCAUCAAACUUUAAGCGUGCGGACCCUACGGGUUCGAGAACUAUGUAGACAUGACCGAGACACGUCUCCGGUCAGUAACCAAUAGCGGAACUUGGAUGCUCAUAUUGGCUCCCACAUAUUCUACGAAGAUCUUUAUUGGUCAAACCGCAUGACAACAUACGUUGUUCCCUUUGUCAUCGGUAUGUUACUUGCCCGAGAUUCAAUCGUCGGUAUCUCAAUACCUAGUUCAAUCUCGUUACCGGCAAGUCUCUUUACUCGUUCUGUAAUACAUCAUCCCGCAACUAACUCAUUAGUUACAAUGCUUGCAAGGCUUAUAGUGAUGUGCAUUACCGAGUGGGCCCAGAGAUACCUCUCCGACAAUCGGAGUGACAAAUCCUAAUCUCGAAAUACGCCAACCCAACAAGUACCUUCGGAGACACCUGUAGAGCACCUUUAUAAUCACCCAGUUAUGUUGUGACGUUUGGUAGCACACAAAGUGUUCCUCCGGUAAACAGGAGUUGCAUAAUCUCAUAGUCAUAGGAACAUGUAUAAGUCAUGAAGAAAGCAAUAGCAGAAUACUAAACGAUCGUGUGCUAAGCUAACGGAAUGGGUCAAGUCAAUCACAUCAUUCUCCUAAUAAUGUGAUCCCGUUAAUCAAAUGACAACUCAUGUCAAUGGCUAGGAAACAUAACCAUCUUUGAUCAACGAGCUAGUCAAGUAGAGGCAUACUAGUGACACUUUGUUUGUCUAUGUAUUCACACAAGUAUUAUGUUUCCGGUUAAUACAAUUCAAGCAUGAAUAAUAAACAUUUAUCAUGAUAUAAGGAAAUAAAUAAUAACUUUAUUAUUGCCUCUAGGGCAUAUUUCCUUCACUUUCAACUUAGUUUUCUCUAGGAACAUAUCAAAAAUAAAACAGGAGAGCUAAACGCGAGCUAUUGAUCUACAACAUAGAUAUGCUAAUACUACCAGGACUAAGUUCAUGAUAAAUUAAAGUUCAAUUAAUCAUAUUACUUAAGAACUCCCACGUAGAUAGACAUCCCUCUAAUCAUCUAAGUGAUCACGUGAUCCAUAUCAACUAAACCAUGUCCGAUCAUCACGUGAGAUGGAGUAGUUUUCAAUGGUGAACAUCACUAUGUUGAUCAUAUCUUCUAUAUGAUUCACGCUCGACCUUUCGGUCUCCAGUGUUCUGAGGCCAUAUCUGCAUAUGCUAGGCUCGUCAAGUUUAACCCGAGUAUUCUGCAUGUGCAAAACUGGCUUGCACCCAUUGUAUGUGAACGUAGAGCUUAUUACACCCGAUCAUCACGUGGUGUCUUAGCACGAAGAACUGUCGCAACGGUGCAUACUCAGGGAGAACACUUAUACUUUGAAAUUUAGUGAGAGAUCAUCUUAUAAUGCUACCGUCGAUCUAAGCAAAAUAAGAUGCAUAAAAGAUAAACAUCACAUGCAAUCAAUAUAAGUGAUAUGAUAUGGACAUCAUCAUCUUGUGCCUUUGAUCUCCAUCUCCAAAGCACCGUCAUGAUCACCAUCGUUACCGGCGCGACACCUUGAUCUCCAUCGUAGCAUCGUUGUCGUCUCGCCAACUAUUGCUUCUACGACUAUCGCUGCCGCUUAGUGAUAAAGUAAAGCAAUUACAUGGCGAUUGCAUUUCAUACAAUAAAGCGACAACCAUAUGGCUCCUGCCAGUUGCCGAUAACUCUGUUACAAAACAUGAUCAUCUCAUACAAUAAAAUUUAGCAUCAUGUCUUGACCAUAUCACAUCACAACAUGCCCUGCAAAAACAAGUUAGACGUCCUCUACUUUGUUGUUGCAAGUUUUACGUGGCUGCUACGGGCUGAGCAAGAACCGUUCUUACCUACGCAUCAAAACCACAACGAUAUUUCGUCAAGUAUGUGAUGUUUUAACCUUCACAAGGACCGAGCGUAGCCACACUCGAUUCAACUAAAGUUGGAGAAACUGACACCCGCCAGCCACCUGUGUGCGAAGCACGUCGGUAGAACCAGUCUCGCGUAAGCGUACGCGUAAUGUCGGUUCGGGCCGCUUCAUCCAACAAUACCGCCGAAUCAAAGUAUGACAUGCUGGUAAGCAGUAUGACUUGUAUCGCCCACAACUAAUUUGUGUUCUACUCGUGCAUAUAACAUCUACGCAUAAACCUGGCUCGGAUGCCACUGUUGGGGAACGUAGUAAUUUCAAAAAAAAAUCCUACGCACACGCAAGAUCAUGGUGAUGCAUAGCAACGAGAGGGGAGAGUGUCGUCCAUGUACCCUCGUAGACCGAAAGCGGAAGCGUUAUAACAACGCGGUUGAUGUAGUCGUACGUCUUCAUGAUCCGACUGAUCCAAGUACCGAACACACGGCACCUCCGAGUUCAGCACACGUUCAGCUCGGUGACAUCCCUCGAACUCACGAUCCAGCAGAGCUCCGAGGGAGAGUUCCGUCAGCACGACGGCGUGAUGACGGUGAUGAUGAUGCUACCGACGCAGGGCUUCGCCUAAGCACCGCUACGAUAUGACCGAGGUGGAUUAUGGUGGAGGGGGGCACUGCACACAGCUAAAAGAUCAACUGAUCAACUUGUGUGUCUACGGGGUGGGGGGCGGCGCCCCCCUUUUUCCUUCCCCCUCUCUCCUCCUUCCUUCCCUCCUACUCCUACUCUUGGAAGGGUUGGAGUCCUACUCCCGGUGGGGGCGCGGCCUGCCCUGGCCGCCCCUCCUCUUCUCCACUAAGGCAGGCCCAUUACACUCCCCAGGGGGGUUCCGGUAACCCCCGGUACUCCGGUAUUUGUCCGAACUUACCCGGAACCCUUCCGAAGUCCAAACAUAGUCAUCCAAUAUAUUAAUCUUUUUGUCUCGAUCAUUUCGAGACUCCUCGUCAUGUCCGUGAUCAUAUCCGGGACUAUGAACUACCUUCGGUACAUCAAUACACAUAAACUCAUAAUACCGAUCGUCACCGAACGUUAAGCGUGCGGACCCUAUGGGUUCGAGAACUAUGUAGACAUGACCGAGACACGUCUCCGAUCAAUAACCAAUAGCGGAACCUAGAUGCUCAUAUUGGCUCCUACAUAUUCUACGAAGAUCUUUAUUGGUCAAACCGCAUAACAACAUACGUUGUUUCCUUUGUCAUCGGUAUGUUACUUGCCCGAGAUUCGAUCGUCGGUAUCUCAAUACCUAGUUCAAUCUCGUUACCGGCAAGUCUCUUUACUCGUUCCGUAAUACAUCAUCCUGCAACUAACAUAUUAGUUGCAUUGCUUGCAAGGCUUAUAGUGAUGUGUAUUACCGAGAGGGCCCAGAGAUACCUCUCCGACAAUUGGAGUGACAAAUCCUAAUCUCGAUCUAUGCCAACUCAACAAGUACCAUCGGAGACACCUGUAGAGCACCUUUAUAAUCACCAAGUUACGUUGUGACGUUUGGUAGCACACAAAGUGUUCCUCCGGUAUUCGGGAGUUGCAUAAUCUCAUAGUCAUAGGAACAUGUAUAAGUCAUGAAGAAAGCAAUAGCAAUAUACUAAACGAUCAAAUGCUAAGCUAACGGAAUGGGUCAAGUCAAUCACAUCAUUCUCUAAUGAUGUGAUCCCGUUAAUCAAAUGACAACUCAUGUCUAUGGUUAGGAAACUUAACCAUCUUUGAUUCAACGAGCUAGUCAAGUAGAGGCAUACUAGUGACACUCUGUUUGUCUAUGUAUUCACACAUGUACUAAGUUUCCGGUUAAUACAAUUCUAGCAUGAAUAAUAAACAUUUAUCAUGAUAUAAGGAAAUAUAAAUAACAACUUUAUUAUUGCCUCUAGGACAUAUUUCCUUCAUCGUCAUGAUCCCCAUCGUCACCGGCUCGACACCUUGAUCUCCAUCGUUGUGUCAUGGUCGUCUCGCCAACUAUUGCUUCUACAAUUAUCGCUGACGCAUAGUGAUAAAGUAAAGCAAUUAAAUGGCGUUUGCAUUUCAUACAAUAAAGCAACAGCCAUAAGGCUCCUGCCAGUUGCCGAUAACUUUUACAAAACAUGAUCAGCUCAUACAAUAACGUAUAUCACAUCAUGCCUUGACCAUAUCACAUCACAACAAGCCCUGCAAAAACAAGUUAGAUGUCCUCUACUUUGUUAUAUCAAGUUUUACGUGGCUGCUACGGGCUUCUAGUAAGAACCGUUCUUACCUACGCAUCAAAACCACAACGGUGUUUCAUCAAUUUUGUUGUUUUAACCUUCAACAAGGACCGGCUGUAGUCAAAUUCGAUUCAACUAAAGUUGGAGAAACAGACACCCGCUAGCCACCUUUAUGCAAAACUAGUUGCAUGUCUGUCGGUGGAACCGGUCUCAUGAACAUGGUCAUGUAAGGUUGGUCCGGGCCGCUUCAUCCAACAAUACCGCCGAAUCAAAAUAAGACGUUGGUGGUAAGUAGUACGACUAUCACUGCCCACAACUCUUUCUGUUCUACUCGUGCAUAUCAUCUACGCAUAGACCUGGCUCAGAUGCCACUGUUGGGAAACGUAGCAUGCAAUUUCAAAAAUAUUCCUACGUCCACGCAAGAUCUAUCUAGGAGAUGCAUAGUGAUACGUCUCCAACGUAUCUAUAAUUUUUUAUUGUUCCAUGCUAUUAUAUUAUCUGUUUUGGAUGUUUUAUAUGCAUUAAUAUGCUAUUUUAUAUGAUUUUUGGGACUAACCUAUUAACCUAGAGCCCAGUGCCAGCUUCUGUUUUUUCCUUGUUUUAGAGUUUCGCAGAAAAGGAAUACCAAACAGAGUCCAAAUGGAAUAAAACUUUCGCCAUGAUUUUUCUUGGACCAGAAGACACCCAGGAGACUUGGAGUACAAGUCAGGGAAGCUUCGAGGCGGUCACAAGGGUGGAGGGCGCCCCCCCCCCCCACCUUGUGGGCCCCUCGUAGCUCUGCUGACCUAAUUCUUCCUCCUAUAUAUACUCUUAUACCCCAAAAACAUCCAGGGGAGCCACCAAACCACUUUUCCACUGCCGCAACCUUCUGUACCCGUGAGAUCCCAUCUUGCGGCCUUUUCCGGCAUCCUGCCGGAGGGGGAAUCGAUCACGGAGGGCUUCUACAUCAACACCAUUGCCUCUCCGAUGAACCGUGAGUAGUUUAUUUCAGACCUACGGGUCCAUAACUAGUAGCUAGAUGGCUUCUUCUCUCUCUUUGAUUCUCAAUACAAAGUUCUCCUCGAUGUUCUUGGAGAUCUAUUCGAUGUAAUACUCUUUUGCAGUGUGUUUGCCGAGAUCCGAUGAAUUGUGGAUUUAUGAUCAAGUUUAUCUAUGAAUAUCAUUUGAAUCUUCUCUGAAUUUUAUAUGCAUGAUUUGAUAUCUUUGCAAGUCUCUUCGAACUAUCGAUUUGGUUUGGCCAACUAGAUUGGUUUUUCUUGCAAUGGGAGAAGUGCUUAGCUUUGGGUUCAAUCUUGUGGUGUCCUUUCCCAGUGACAGUAGGGGCAGCAAGGCACGUAUUGUAUUGUUGCCAUCGAGGAUAAAAAGAUGGGGUUUUCAUCAUAUUGCUCGAGUUAAUCCCGCUACAUUAUGUCAUCUUGCUUAAUGCAUUACUCUGUUCUUAUGAACUUAAUACUCUAGAUGCAGGCAGGAGUCGGUCGAUGUGUGGAGUAAUAGUAGUAGAUGCAGAAUCGUUUCGGUCUACUUGAUACGGACGUGAUUCCUAUAUUCAUGAUCAUUGCCUUAGAUAUCGUCAUAACUUUGCGAUUUUCUAUCAUUUGCUCGACAGUAAUUUGUUCACCCACCGUAAUAAUUUCUAUCUUGAGAGAAGCUUCUAGUGAAACCUAUGGCCCCCGGGUCUAUUUUAUAUCAUAUUAGUUUCCCGACAACUUGCCAAUUUCUGUCGCCGUUCCUUUAUUUUGCAAUCUUUACUUUCCGUUCCAUAAACCAAAAAUAUUACUUUACCGUUUAUCCAUCUCUAUCAGAUCUCACUUUGCGAACAACCGUGAAGGGAUUGACAACCCCAUUGUCGCGCUGGUUGCAAGUUGGUGUUUGUUUGUGCAGGUAUUUGGUGGCUUGUUGCGUAGUCUCCUACUGGAUUGAUACCUUGGUUCUCAAAACUGAGGGAAAUACUUACGGUCCUUUGCUGCAUCACCCUUUCCUCUUCAAGGGAAAAACCAACACAAGCUCAAGAGGUAGCACAUAGCAACGAGAGGGGGAGAGUGUGUCUACGUACCCUCGUAGACUGAAAGCGGAAGCGUUUAACAACGCGGUUGAUGUAGUCGAACUUCUUCUCGUUCCGACCGAUCAAGCACCGAACGUACGGCACCUCCGAGUUCUGCACACGUUCAGCUCGAUGACAUCCCUCGAACUGUUCAUACAGCAAAGUGUUGAGGGAGAGUUCCGUCAGCACGACGUCGUGGUGACGGUGAUGGUGAAGUGAUCCGCGCAGGGCUUCGCCUAAGCACUACGUGAAUAUGACCGGAGGCAUAAACUGUGGAGGGGGCCGCCGCACAUGGCUAACAAUGGUUGGUGUGUGUUCUAGCGGUGCCUCCCCCUCAUAUAUAUAGGUUGGAGGGGAGGAUAGGCAGCCAAGGGGGCGCCCCAAGUAGGAGGAAUCCUACUUGGGCACCUCCCAAUUCGGCCUCCCCCCUUUCCUAUUCCUAUUCGGAGUAGGAAGGGAAAAGGGGGAAGGGGGAAUCCUAUUCCCUUUUUCCUUUCCUCCUUCCCCUUUCCUUCUCCAAUUUGGCCAGCCCAUAUGGGGGGUGCACCAGCCCCUUUGUGGCUGGUGUGUUUCCGCUCUUGGCCCAUAAGGCCCAUAUCUUUUGCCGGGGGUGCCCGGAACCCCUUCCGGUGACCCGAUAAGUACCCGGUGCUUCCCGGAACACUUUCGUUGUCCGAAUACCAUUGUCCUAUAUAUCAAUCUUCACCUCUCGACCAUUUCGAGACUCCUCGUUAGUUUCGUGAUCUCAUCCGGGACUCCGAACAACAUCCGGUCACCAAAUCACAUAACUCAUAUAAUAACAAAUCGUCAUCGGGCGUUAAGCGUGCGGACCCUACGGGUUCGAGAACUAUGUAGACAUGACCAAGACACCUCUCCGGACAAUAACCAAUAGCGGAACCUGGAUGCUCAUAUUAGCUCCUACAUAUUCUACGAAGAUCUUUAUCGGUCGUACUGUAAUGACAACAUACGUUAUUCCCUUUGUCAUCGGUAUGUUACUUGCCCGAGAUUUGAUCGUCAGUAUCUUCAUACCUAGUUCAAUCUCGUUACCGGGAAGUCUCUUUACUUGUUCCGUAAUACAUCAUCCCGCAACUAACUCAUUAGUCACAUUGCUUGCAAGGCUUCUUAUGAUGUGCAUUAUCGAGAGGGCCCAGAGAUACCUCCCCGAUACUCGGAGUGACAAAUCCUAAUCUCGAUCUAUGCCAACCCAACAAACACCUUCGAAGAUACAUGUAGAGCAUCUUUAUAAUCACCCAGUUACAUUGUGACGUUUGAUAGCACACAAGGUAUUCCUCCGAUAUCCGGAAGUUGCAUAAUCUCAUAGUCAAAGGAAUAUGUAUAUGACAUGAAGAAAGCAAUAGCAAUAAAACUGAAUGAUCAAUAUGCUAAGCUAACGGAUGGGCCAUGUCCAUCACAUCAUUCAAAUGACAACACAUGUCUAUGGUUAGAAAACUUGACCAUCUUUGAUUAACGAGCUAGUCUAGUAGAGGCUUACUAGGGACACUGUGUUUUGUCUAUGUAUCCACACAUGUAUCAAGUUUUCGGUUAAUACAAUUCUAGCAUGAAUAAUAAACAUUUAUCAUGAUAUAAGGAAAUAUAAAAUAACAACUUUAUUAUUGCCUUUAGGGCAUAUUUCCUUCACUGGGAUGACAGAACAACCUGCCGGAGGGCUCGCCGAAGGGCUACGCACUCAACGGUAUCCACACGGCCCAAGGCGCUCCAGAUAUCCAGUAUCCACGGGUCGUCAUGCAAGCCCUCAGACCGCGCCCAGUCACAGAGCAUACAUUUGUCGUCGUGCAGGAGCCCAUGCCUAGCCAGGUAUGCAGUCGUCCAGCAACGAUCCUAAUUGGCAAGCCAAGCGAAGAAAUGGAUUUGUAGGGGCACCUAGGUCCGCCAGGUGAGCCGCCAGUGCGGCAUGGCAUGGAUCCAGUGAACAGGGUCUGGUAGCAAGAUCGUGCAACGUAGGUCACGUUGGAAGUCUAGCACCAUCUCAAAGAGUCUGGCUCGGGUGACAGAACAACCUGACGAAGGGCUCGCCAGAGAGCUACGCACUCAACGGUAUCCGUAGGGAGCCCCAGAUAUCCAGUAUCCACGCGUGAUCAUGCAAGCCCUCUGCAAUAGACCGCGCCCACUGACGGCGCCGCGAUACGAGGGCAAGCACGAACGUGGUGAUCUGAGAGGUAGACCAUCCCGCGAGCCAUUGAUCAAUCUAGAAGAGACAAGUGUUGUUGUCGCCGAGGUCAAGAUGUGGAAGCUUGAAGAAAGCUCGCACCUCGGGGUCACACGAAAUGUGCAGGUGAUAGCCAUCUAGUUACCAUGGUGAUCCCGGUGCGCUGCGGGUCAGAUGCCUAAGCCACCAAGCUCAAGGGGGCGACAUACUUUGCGCCACUAACAAGGCAGCCCCCAGCUGAAGCCUAGCUCGCUCGUGCCAUGCCAUAGGAAAUUCCGCAUAAUGAGUUUGACCUUCUUGAGAAUGGGGGACGAAGAGCCAUCGCCAUCAACAGGUGUCUGGGCAUGGCCGCAAGCAUGUGACGGACAAGCGCCAACCUCUCGCCACGCGAUAACGAGGCCUUCGACGCUAGGCGCCGGCGCACCGGCCCAACAGUUGGGCCGAUCCAGCCCUGGCCGCCCGACGCAGGGAUUAGACCGUCAGAUCUGUCCCUUGCUUUGUCCUCCUCCUGAGUCAAUUUUCCAAAAAAAAUUACAACGGCCCGAGCGCCGGUGACACCACGCCAUAUCCUCGCGAGAAAACAGCCGAGCUUGAAGCACCACCGCGGCGUUCCUCGUCGCCGGUGGACGUCCUCGCCGGCCGUCCACGCUUGCCCCAGAUCCGCGCUCGCCAUGGAUGCAGCUCCGCCGCCCGCGCUCAUCAGAGAUGUGCGCUCACCAUGGAUGCAGCUCCGCCGCCCAGCGCUUGCCGUGGAUGCAGCUUCGCCGCCCACGCUUGCCAUGGAUGGAUCCCGCCCCUCGCCGCCCGCGCACGCCAUGGAUGCAGCUCCGCCUCGUUGGCGAUUGACUGGUUCCAGCAAAUAGAAUUGCCCGUUGUAGCAUUUUUCGUUGUUUGUCGUAGCAAAAUGGAGACACGGUUGCAGCAAAAAAGAAACGUCACCGUUUUCGCUGGUUGUAGCUCGCCGUUGCAGGUAGGAACAUUUUCAUCAAUGAACGGAUGUAACAAAACCCAUUGCCGGACGUAGCAAAUACCUACGGCGGUUGCAACAAAAAAGUCGUCGUCGCCGUCGCGGGUCGCAACUCGGCCGUGCUGGAUGUAGCAAAACAUUAUGCCGGUUGUAGCAAAAAGCGAUGCUAGUUGUAGCAAAACCACGACGCCGGCUGUGUGUUGUAGCAAAACGUGACCCUAGCUGUAGCAAAAUGAUAUGCCGGUUGUAGCAAAAUCCAUGCCAGUUGAAGCAUGUAGCAAAACUGCAGCAUUUUGUCAUCUUCUUCCACCUCCAGCCGUCGCUGGUUGAAGCUUUUUCAAACUACAGUUGAAGCUUUCGUAUGAACGAUUGUAGCUUUUUUCUGUGCGUGGUAUCCGGUUGAAGCUUGAUAUACUGCGGGUUGAAGCUUUUGAAUCAAACGGUUGUAGCUUUUUCCACUGCCGGUUGUAGCAUGCGCCAAUGACCAUAGUAGCACGGCCAGGGAGUUGGGGACCGCACGCGCCAAUGGCCAUAGUAGCACGGCCAGGGAGUUGGGGACCUAGGAGUGCGCCAUGAGGACGAGGGGGUAGCUGGCGCAUGGACAUGGCGUGGAGGGACGCUGUGAGGAAGAAGAAUAGAGGCUGGCCAUGGUGAGGAGGAUGUGCAGGCGGAGGCGCGCGAGCUCGAAGAAAAAAAAUACGAGAGAAGGGGAUAAGAGCAAGCGGCCUUGUAACACCCCGCACGUAACUUUCCAUAUUUGUAACUCCAACUCUUGCCAUUUUCGGCUAUGUGUUAUGAUAUUCCCUCCGUGGUCGGGUUUUGGUUUUUGUUUUGCAUUUUGUUCAUGUCAUGCAUUUCAUAUCAUGUCAUCAUGUGCAUUGCAUUUGCAUACGUGUUCGUCUCUUGCAUCCGAACAUUUUCCCCGUUGUCCGUUUUGCAAUCCGGCGCUCCUAUCUCCUCCGGUGCACCCUCUUGUUUUUCUUUCGUGUGCGGGUGUCAAACAUUCUCGGAAUGGACCAAGGCUUGUCAUGUGGCCUUAGUAUACCACCCGGAGACCACCGGUCAAGUUUCAUUUCAUUUGGAGGUCGUUUGGUACUCCAACGGUUAACCGGGCAUCCGCAAUGUCCGUUUGUGUGUUGCAGCAAAACCCCCUCUCUAAACAGCCCAAAACCCACCAAACUCCCUUCCAUGUUGUAGGUCGUUCGAUCACGAUCGUGUGGGCGAAAACUGCACCUCAUUUGGAGCCUCCUAGCUCCCUCUACCUAUUUAUAUGUGAGACCCCCGUAUUUUUCGCGCAGUCCAAACCCUAGUUCGUUCCCCUCGCGCCGCCGGACGUGUCCGCCUCCGGCCGGACGCGUCCACUCCCGCCGCCGCCACGUGCCACCGCCGCNNNNNNNNNNNNNNNNNNNNNNNNNNNNNNNNNNNNNNNNNNNNNNNNNNNNNNNNNNNNNNNNNNNNNNNNNNNNNNNNNNNNNNNNNNNNNNNNNNNNNNNNNNNNNNNNNNNNNNNNNNNNNNNNNNNNNNNNNNNNNNNNNNNNNNNNNNNNNNNNNNNNNNNNNNNNNNNNNNNNNNNNNNNNNNNNNNNNNNNNNNNNNNNNNNNNNNNNNNNNNNNNNNNNNNNNNNNNNNNNNNNNNNNNNNNNNNNNNNNNNNNNNNNNNNNNNNNNNNNNNNNNNNNNNNNNNNNNNNNNNNNNNNNNNNNNNNNNNNNNNNNNNNNNNNNNNNNNNNNNNNNNNNNNNNNNNNNNNNNNNNNNNNNNNNNNNNNNNNNNNNNNNNNNNNNNNNNNNNNNNNNNNNNNNNNNNNNNNNNNNNNNNNNNNNNNNNNNNNNNNNNNNNNNNNNNNNNNNNNNNNNNNNNNNNNNNNNNNNNNNNNNNNNNNNNNNNNNNGGCCUCCCUCUCCUCCUCCGGCGCCGACGCCCGCGACCUCCCUCUCCUCCGGCCUCCUCCUCCGGCGCCCUCUCCGGCCGAGCUCGAGCUCGAGCCCGAGCCGACGAGCUCCCUGAGAUCCCGAUCCAGAACGCUGUAGCAGGUUGACUUUCCCGUGCCCGAAAUUUUCCCAAGUCUUACAAUUUUGACAGCAAGUGCCUCUGUUCAACAGUGCAUAACUCCUUGCAUGUAGCUCCGUUUCGCGCGUGUAAUAUGUCAAAUUGUUCGUCUCAUGAUGCUCUUCAUUUUGUUCAAUUGCACCAUGUUCAUUAUAGGUCAUCUUGAUGCCCAAAUCUCUAUUGCAAGAGGGCUAGUUGCUGUUAUCUGCUGGUUCUUAACAGAACUUGGAGAUUUGUCAUUUUUGUAUCAUUUAAUCUGUGCAUCUUAUGGGCAUGAGCUCUACAUGUGUUUUGUUGUAUGCCAUGCCAUCUUUCCAAGGGUGUAUGCCAUGUAUUUUUGUGAUCUCUGUGGUGACUAGCACAAGCAUGCAAAGUAGGCUCCGUAAUGUUUCUGAUUUCAGGGACUUGGUGAUUUCUCCAAGUCCUUGUCGGCUGUUAUUUUGUUGCCAUGUAAACUUGAUGCUACAGAGAGAUCCAUGCAUAUUUUGGAGAUAUUCAGUAAGGAUGUUUUGUAGCUAUAGUUGUAAUUGAUCCAUUCUUGCCCUUGUUUACAAUUAUGGAGUACCAUAGCAUGACUCAAUCUUGCUCUACUUUUGCUAUAAAAUAUUUCUGACAGAUUCUUAACAUGAUAUUCAUUUUUGCCAAGCUUGUUGUAGUUGAUCCAUACAUGCUAUGCUUUUGCUCUUGCCAUGGAUAGCUUCACAAACAUGCCAUCUUGCUGUAGGUAUACUUGUUUUGUCAUGGAUUGCUUUGUGGUGAGUGCAUCAAGCUCACAAACAUGCCUUCAUAUUAUUGUUUCUACCAUGCUCUGUUUUCUGCUAAGUCUGAAACCUGAUAACAAAACUUGCUAUGUUUACAUGCUUGCCAUCAUAUCUUCUGCUCCUUUUUGGCUUAUGGUCAGUAAGGGACUUUUGUCAUAUGCAUUUAGUAGAAUACUGACAUGCCUUGUUUUGCUAUGUUAAGUUCCUGUAGCAUGUUGUUUCGUGCUCUGAACAUUGCUACCUGAUGCUGUUUUCUGCCAAGUCCAGUAAUUUCACUAAGUCUGGAACCUGUUAUCUUUUGCACUUUUGCCAUGCUUGUUUGAGCUUGAUAUGUUGUGAACUAGCCGUAGCUCAGUGUUCAUCUUUUGUCAAGCAUCUCCUGUAGAUUACUGCCAUAUGCUUUGUUGCUAUGUUGGAGUGUUGUAGCAUUGUUACUUGUAGCAUUUUAAGUGCUAUCAUGCUGUUAAUCUCAGAUUCGUGUCAUUCUUGUUUUGCUUGCCAUUUGCAAACCGUGCAUCCGUUUCCGGUGAUCUUUAUAUCGAUUUCGACCGAAAUCAUCUCAUCUUUCCAGUGGCAUGCUUGGUUUGCCAAGUUAAUGCCUUGUUCAUCAUUUUCCUUCCGGAGCAUGCAUACGCAUCGCAUAUCAUAUCUUGCAUAUCAUACAUGUUUUGCAUCGUGUUGCUUGUGCAUUUCUCGUGAUUGAUUGUGGUUCCGUUUGUUUGUGUUCUUGUCUUGGGUAGAGCCGGGAGACGAGUUCGUGAACGAGGAACCUGUUGAGUACGCUUACGAGGAUCAAGCUUUCGACAACUCUGAGAACCUUGCAGGCAAGAUGACCACCCCUCGAAAUCACUUCUAUCUUUGCUUUGCUAGUUGUUCGCUCUAUUGCCAUGCUACGCUACCUAUCACUUGCUAUAUCAUGUCUCCCAUUUUGCCAUGUCAGCCUCUAACCAUCCUUUCCUAGCAAACCGUUGUUUGGCUAAGUUACCGCUUUUGCUCAGCCCUUCUUAUAGCGUUGCUAGUUGCAGGUGAAGUUGAAGUUGGUUCCAUGUUGGAACAUGGAUAUGUUGGGAUAUCACAAUAUCUCUUAUUUAAUUAAUGCAUAUAUAUAUUUGGUAAAGGGUGGAAGGCUCGGCCUUAUGCCUGGUGUUUUGUUCCACUCUUGCCGCCCUAGUUUCUGUCUUACCGGUAUUAUGUUCCUUGAGUUUGCGUUCCUUACACUGUUGGGUGAUUUAUGGGGCCCCCUUGACAGUUCGCCUUGAAUAAAACUCCUCCAGCAAGGCCCAACCUUGGUUUUACCAUUUGCUACCUAAGCCUUUCCCCCGGGUUUUCGCGAGCCCAAGGGUCAUCUUAUUUUAACCCCCCCGGGCCAGUGCUCCUUCGAGUGUUGGUCCGAACUGAGUAGACUGCGGGGCCCCCUCCUGGAAACUCGAGGUUUGGUUUUACUCGUAGGAUGUCUCAUCCGGUGUGCCCUGAGAACGAGAUAUGUGCAGCUCCUAUCGGGAUUUGUCGGCGCAUCGGGCGGCUUUGCUGGUCUUGUUUUACCAUUGUCGAAAUGUCUUGUAAACCGGGAUUCCGAGACUGAUCGGGUCUUUCCGGGAGAAGGUUUAUCCUUCGUUGACCGUGAGAGCUUAUGAUGGGCUAAGUUGGGACACCCCUGCAGGGUAUUAUCUUUCGAAAGCCGUGCCCGCGGUUAUGAGGCAGAUGGGAAUUUGUUAAUGUCCGGUUGUAGAGAACUUGUCACUUGACCCAGUUAAAAUACAUCAACUGCGUGUGUAGCCGUGAUGGUCUCUUCUCGGCGGAGUCCGGGAAGUGAACACGGUCUGAGUUAUGUAUGACGUAAGUAGGAGUUCAGGAUCACUUCUUGGUCAUUGCUAGAUGACGACCGUUCCGUUGCUUCUCUUCCCGCUCUCUUUUGCGUAUGUUAGCCACCAUAUAUGCUUAUUGCCGCUGCAGCUCCACCUCAUUACACCAUGCUUUUCCUACAAGCUUAAAUAGUCUUGAUCUCGCGGGUGUGAGAUUGCUGAGUCCCCGUGACUCACAGAUUCUACCAAAACAGUUGAAGGUGCCGACGAUGCCAGUGCAGAUGAUGGGGUCGAUCUCAAGUGGGAGUUCGAUGAGGAACGUGGUCGUUACUAUGUGUCUUUUCCUGAUGAUCAGUAGUGGAGCCCAGUUGGGACGGUCGGGGAUCUAGCAUUUGGGGUUGUUUUAUUUUCAUCUGGAUUUUGACCGUAGUCGGUCUAUAUGUUUGUAUUUUGGAUGAUGUAUGAAUUAUAUUUAUGUAUUGUGUGAAGUGGCGAUUGUAAGCCAACUCUUUAUCCCAUUCUUGUUCAUUACAUGGGAUUGUGUGAAGAUGACCCUUCUUGCGACAAAACCACUAUGCGGUUAUGCCUCUAAGUCGUGCCUCGACACGUGGGAGAUAUAGCCGCAUCGUGGGCGUUACAGGCCUGGAAGAGAAGAAGGGAUAACGCAGAGGAAUAGUCAACUCGGGUCCACCAUGCCACGUGGUUGCUCGCGAGUGGGUCGCGCAUGCGCACGUGGAUUGGACCGGCCGAAGCUUCCGCCGGUCCGCCGGUGUGAAACGUUUCCCUUUCAGGUUGGAAGUUUCCUUGCUAUCCUCUACACCAACGGCAUGAUCACCGUUGCAGAAACCUUCCUGGCCGACAGGGGAAUGCCUAGGUAGGUGAUGGGAAAGUGUGCAAUGAGGCAUGCCAGCGUGUUCUCGGUCAGCUAGCCUAGGCCGACGAGCAUUGGACAAGCGUAGCGGAGCACUUAUGAAAGUUGGUGUGCACAUCGGACACAGAUCCGAAGACGUGGUGAAGGAGGGGCAAUGGCGGCGGCUCACCUUCGACUCGCUCUAGUCUUUAUUAUCGUUUAUAGGUGGUCUACGCUCAUGAAUGUAAUUUUGUUAUUUAUAUGUUCUUUAUACUGCCAUGGCCUGAUGAAUAGAUCAAAAGUUCUUCGGGGAAAAGAUAAAGAGCACAUAUGUGCUUAUGCUCAGUCAUGUAAAAAGAAGUGCUCGGGCUCAUAAUUGCAUCUUCCGAUAUUCACGGUUACUACAGCCCGCGGGAAUGCACGCCAGGGCAGCGCAAUGGCCUGCGCAGUGUUGCGAGAGCACCGAGCUCCUGCGCGUGGAGAGCAAGGGCCGAUCCCGAUAUGGACAAACUUGCUCACGCGUUGGGCUUGCCCAAGGCAGAUCUGGCGGGGUGGCUGGCCGGCGACCUCCUGAGCGCACGGCCUGAGGACAAGAUGUGUAGCGACGCUCGUGCGUCCUGGAAGUGGUAUGCCUAAAGGGCUGGCUGGGUCACGGGUUUGGGCCGUGAGGCUGUCGGCGAAAGCCGCACUCUGGGAUUCCGGAUCAGACGGUGACAGCGUCAUUAACCCUGCUCGGCAUCAUGUUUCCUCUUAGGGACAUCGUCUUGGAGCUAGACUCGGUCAGAGAGACUCGAUGAUCGUGGAUGUGGUUGGCGGCGGCAUGUGUGAAAUCUCCAGGAGAGCAGCAGAAGCACCCUUCACAUGCAAGGUGCGUCAGGCGAGUUAUGUCUUCCCACCUCACGGGAUUGAAGCAGCAUAUGUUUGCUCUUUCAGACAUAGUGUUCCUCUUCGAUGUCUUUGAGAUCCGUGAAUAUACUUGUGGGAGCCUGGAUUGAUACGACAGUUCUUAGUAUGCACUCUGAUAGCAACGAAGCCACACAAGUGUCCGGCCAUGUCUUCCGGAUUGAAGCGGCCUGUGUUUGCUCUUUCAGACAUAGUGUCCCUCUUCGAUGUCGUCGAGAUCCGUGGAUAUACUUGUGGGAGCCUGGUUUGAUACGACGGUUCUUAGUAUGUACUCUGGUAGCAACAAAGGCGAUGUUCUUAGUAUGCACUCUGGUAGCAACGAAGGCGCUCGAGUGUCCGGCCGGACAGGUUGCGGGGUGUUGGCCUUUCUGGCGUGUUUGUGUUGCUUUAGGCCUAGUCUUGCUAGGCAUUGUUAUAGGUUUUUGCCUGGUUUUCCUCAAUAAACCGUGCAACCCCUUUUUUUUCUUUUUUUUAGCACUCGUCUUAUGCGGUGCGUUCUGCCUUUGAGGGUGUGCCAUGCCAACAUUCGGGAAAAAAACAACACCACAAACUCUUGUAAGCACAACUUCAACAUUGAUUCUCUCAAAACUUUUACUAUGGGAGCUUCUUCAGCACGUACUAGCUAUCUCAAGUUGAUCAAACAAAUCAAUUGGUACAAUUUUUUCUUGGCCAAAGUAUUUUUAGAUACUGGAUGGUGAGUGUUGACAGGAAGUUUUUGGUGCGGCAUAUUCAUCCGAGUACAUUACAUGAACAUUUACAGUGCUAUUCCUCAAACUGGUAAUUCAUCAAAGUACCCCAAACUCCGGUAAUUUGAACUUCAACUUUGAUAUGAUGACAUUAUUGGUCACGUACCCCUUACCUAUAUUGGCCCUGUUUGGAUCCCUAAGUUAGGUGAGUUCUAGUCAGUUGGGGCUCAAAUAACCCAAAAGUAUCCAAACAUGAUGGGUUAGUUUGGGUUAGUUGGAUCUAACCCAUCUUAAAAUAUUAGCCCACACUAGAGGUUAGUUCUCCUGGGCCCACUAGAAAAAUUAGUAAAAAAAGCUUACCCCUCCCAUCCAAAAAGGUACAAAGUAGUCAAAUGAUUGAGAAAGAAUAUUUAUUGUCAAUCUAACCCUACCAUCCAAACAGCUCUUUGGUUAGAGUUAGUUUAGGGUUAGUUCAGGGUUAGAAUUUAACUCUAACCUCUAACUCGUAGAAUAUCCAAACAGGGCCAUUGUUCGAGGGCAAACCUUGGUUGAUAGAUACCAUUGAUUGGGAGAACCACAAGUUUUGGAGCUAAGUACUCAUCCAAGAUACUGUGGGGUUAUGGGUGCUAGUAGUGUACUUAUAUCUCUAUUUGACCGUGGGGCUACGGGCAACUUGAACCUACCUUGGUUUGACAACGGAAACUGAGAGUUUUCUUUCUUUUUUUGCAAGAAAAUUGAGUUAUCUUUCUGAGUUUACUGUGCUCAAUUCAUACCCAUUUACACAACAAAUCAAUGUGAAAAUUGAAAACUAGCAAUAGUAACAAAGAAUUCAAAUGAUCCAUUAACCGCUCACAAAAAAAUCAGAUACAACUAUGGUAUCACGAAGCAAAACCUAAGUACAUGGGCUGGGACUCAAAACGAUGUUAUCACAAAGCCUAUGAGCUCGUGUUGUGGCCAUCAGAUGGCCAUUUUGAGUGGUGAUGGGCAGGCCAAAUGAUUGCCAAUCAAAAAGUGUGAAUUUUAUUAAAAAAAAUCUCACAAACUGACAAGCACAGCAUGAAUCAAAAUCAACCUUCACAAUGGAAACAAGAUUCUCACAGCAUUUAGGUAGAACAGCUCAUUGUGCAUAACGAAAUUAUAGCUAAACAGAACCAAAUACUAGAUAUAUAACUGGUUCAAAACAAGGGAGACAGCUAGAUGGACAUGCCACCAGAUGGCCCGUACUGAAUUCUUUCAAAGUAGAAAGCGGCAUAACUCAUUUAAGAGGAAUGAACCGGGAGGAGUGUGUGGCACCGAUACCGGGCCUACCGUGCUUCACUGGCUUGUAGGAGAUAGAGAACUCUGCAAGGUAAUGGCCAAUCAUCUCAGGCUUAAUCUCAACCUGGUUGAAGGUCUUGCCAUUGUAGACACCGAUAAGGCUGCCAAUCAUCUCAGGGACAAUGAUCAUGUUACGGAGAUGUGUCCUCACUGGCUCAGGCUUCUCACCAGCAGGAGCGUCCUUUUUCUGUUCAAGACCAACAAAACAGAUUGUCAGUUAACUACAUGUUGGCAAAAUAAAAAGCUCUAGCUUAAGCUAGUUUUCCCUCAACUAAUUCUUUCAUCCCAACUCCCCCUCCUUAACUAAUUCUUUCAUCCAACCUCCCCCUCCGUUUUUGCUUUUGCUGUUUCUACCGGUUUUUGUUAAAACCAACACUACUUAAAAAAACAUCUAUUUAUCAAAUAAGAUCAUGUUUCCUGGUAAGCCAAUAAGUAUCUCUUACAAAAUAUGUAAGGUUCCAUCUUAUGUUUACUUCGAUUUGACAACCCCAACUCUUCCAUUUAGUCUUGGCUGCUUUUUGGUCAGCUUCUAAUUUAUGAAAUAAAAUCAUGUUUCAUUUAGUAACUGAAUAACUGCUGAUCCAAUCGGAAGCUAAAAUACAUUUUCAGUGUGCAAUUGCAUUAAGAAAACAAAAGGUGCCCCUCUGCAACGCACAGGCAAUUAUAUAGUAUAGAAUAGAAAUGCAGCUAUAAUACAGUGAGAUUUGCAACAUUACAGUGGAAAGAAUGAGAAAAGAGCAUAUUCUCCUUUUUUUAUGUUAGCAGCUCAGAAUCAUGUUAUUUAAGUAUAAUAGCCGGCAUUGCUAGUUAUGAAUGCACUACUGAAGUUCAUAUGGUAGAACAAAAGUAGUCGGCUCACAUAGUCUGAACUAAUUUCAAACUCAGAUUAUGUGAAGAUGGAAAGAUCAAAUGCAUAGCACCAUAAACGCUUACACAACAACAUACAGCAUAGUGAGGAAACCUGACCUUGCGACAGAAAAACAACACAUUCUAUCUUUAGUCUUACAAAGAUCUGAGUUCGUGGCAACCCGUUCACCAAGUUGAUAGAAGUUGACACAUUUCUCAAACAUUCUACGGAGAUCAGAGUUUAUAGUUUUAGAGAAACUCGGGACCUAUGAUGGCACAAGUGUUUAAACUUGCAACCAAAACAAAAAAUAUUGAUAGCAAUGCACGAGCAUGUAGCCAAUAGAUCUUAAAGAUUGUUGGAGGAGACAUAAGAGGCACCUGAAUUAACAGCAUGUGCUCGAGUAACAGAAUGUCUAUUUCCCAGUACCAAUCAGCACAUGACGCUAAGAUUAACCUUUUAAUAAGAGAAGACAAUGGUAACAUAAACAUUUAUUGUGACAGAAACCAAACAACUAACUUAAAAUCCCUGAGUCCCGCAGUAGUGAGAAGUAGACAGAUCCAGGCAUCAUACCGUAUAAGGUAGUAGACUAGUACUCCCUCCGUUCCUAAAUACUUGUCUUUCUAGGCAUUUCAAAUGACUAUCACAUACGGAUGUAUGUAGACAUAUUUUAAAGUGUAGAUCCAUUCAUUUUACUCCGUAUGUAGUCACUUGUUGAAAUGCCUAGAAAGACAAGUAUUUAGGAACGGAGGGAGUAGUAACUUGAGUUAUAUCAGUCAGAAUGUUCAUAAAACGGAAACAAAGAAAAAGGACUGGGCAACUCACCGCCUUGCGCAGCUUCUUGACGAGCGCCAUGGGCUUCCUCUUGAGACCCCUCUUGAACCUGCCAGAGCACACAGCGAUUCAUCCACAUCAGACGAAGGACAACAAACAACGAAACUCGAACGCGCGAGAUGCAUAGACAACAGGUACCUUCUGCGGGCGCGAGCGGGGAACAUCUGGACAAGGUCGUCGGUGGACAUGUCGAGGAGGGCAUCGAGAUCCACGCCGCGAUAGCUGAACUUGCGGAACGUCCUCUUCUUCGGCUGCGCGCCCGCGGCCACCUCCGUGUCAACGUCGACGUCCGCCUGAGGACACGAAACAUCGAUCCGGCGUUACGAGGGCGACAUGGACGGGUUACGAGAUGAUGCAGGGUUGAUGCAGGGUUUCGAACUCACCAUGGUCGGGUUGGCUUCGAGCGGGUACGGAGCGGCGGCGGCGAGGAAUGGGAAGCUGCGGCUUCUAGGGUUCUGAAGAAUGGUUUGUGAGAGUGGGAGCUUAUAUAUAUAGCUGGGCGUGGUGAUUCAUUUGGGCUGGGCUGGUAAAUGUUUGGGCGAUGCGUGAACCCCCCGCUUGCAGCAGAUAGACUCCAUGGGCCGGCAGCCAAUCAGGCGGUGCGAUUUGACCUGUUAGCCAUUCUCCAGACACCCCUCAAAAAAAAACAUUCUCCAGAUCUUUUAUGCUCGUCCUCGCCACCAAGAAACUCUAAUCCUCCUUUUUUUCUCAAAAAAGAAAAAAAUAGAUGCUUUUUUGCGGGAAAAAAUGGAUUUUAUUCCUCGGUAAUGAAAUUGCAGUCUGCUAAUACAAUUUGAGCUACUUGUGUGGCAGUCGGCGCAACAAACAAUCAAUGCUACCACCAGAACGACCAACAUUAGCUAGACUAUGAGUAACUUUUUUUUUAGAAUAACUCUAUUUUGAUGACGCUCAAUUUUUAAUGAAAUAAACCGGCCAUGGGAAUUGGUUGUAAUAUAUUUCUAUGGAAUCUGAUUGCAUGAACAUGAAUAUUUUAAGCAAUGAUAUAUUGCAUAUGUUUGGUCACAUCAUAGGUGCACUAAGUUAUCGGUAUGAAGUUCGGAAAAAAAAUAGAAGCAUGCGGAAAGAAAAUCUUUAUUAUUAAAGGGGAGUUGAUAGUGUGGCCUCCACUACGAUUAAAACCUUCUCACCUUUUUUCUAUCCCACCACUUUAUCUAUGUUAGAUUGUAUAAUACAUAGCAUCUGUACAUGACUUGUAUUCUGUAUUGUACACCUUGGUGUACCUCUUAGACUGUAUAAUAUGUAGCAUCUGUACAUGACUUGUAUUCUGUAUUAUACACCCUGGUGUACCUCUUUUAUAUAUGAGAUAGCCACACUCGUGUUAGGGUGUCGAGCAGUUUCCCAAACCCUAAGUUUUGCAUGGUAUCAGAGCGACGGAGAGGUGGAACGGAAAAGUGAUGCCAGAGUGGUGUGAGCAGACGGACGUGAUGAAAAUUGGAACACAUUCUCGUCAAACACCACAUCACACGAGAUGUGGACAAGGUUAGAUGAAACAUGAAGGCACUUGUACCCCUUGUGAACAGAACUAUAACCGAGGAAGACACAUUUUUUGGAUCGAAACUCGAGCUUGCGCUUAUUAUAGGGGCGAAGGUGAGGCCAACACGCACACCCAAACACUUUGAGGAACGUACAAUUUGGAGUUUCAUUAAGUAAGAGUUCAAGUGGUGUUUUCAUCCCAAGGAGUCGUGUAGGAAGCCUAUUAAUAAGAAAAUAGGUGGUGGAGACAGCAUCACUCCAAAAAUGAAAAGGAACUGAUGCAUGAGCAAGCAAAGCACGGCCAGUUUCAACAAUACAAUGAUGCUUACGUUCAGCAGUGCCAUUCUGCUGAUGCAUAUGAGGACACGACACACAAUACGAAAUCCCAAACUUGUUGAAGAAAGCAUUGAGGUUGUGAUACUCCCCCCCCCCAUCGGAUUGGACAUGUAUGAUUUUAUGCUGAAGAAGACGCUCAAAAUGGGCUUGAAAUUGCAGAAAAAUUUCAAACACAUCAGAUUUACGCUCAAUAAGAUAAAGCCAAGUGAAGCGACUGUAGUUUCGAAGGAAUCACAAGACGGUGCGACAUUGGAGAGUGCCCAUUUCGAGCUUCAACAUGAUAUGUGCUUGGUAGUCGUCCACUUCUACACGGCGACGCCCUCUCUUUCCAAUGGUGAUGAAGAUCACGAUCCGUGGACGGAUCUCUCCCAAGGGGGGGAGAUGAUGCGGAGCAUCCCUCGACCAUCCCCAUGGACGUCACACCACCACCGCAAGCACGGAGAGGACCUAGCACAAGGGCAUGUGCACGUGCCAUCGAAACCGAGGUUGACUCCUUCCUCUUCGAACUCCAUUCGAAUUCACAUGAGAAUUUGGUUCUACCUCAAACGGAAUUGUUGUGCAUUCUUAGGUACCAAGAAGAAGUCCGUGAAGAAGCUAGGAGGGAGACCCAAGCACAUAUGGAGAAGAAGAAGGAAGAAGAAGGACGAAUCGUGAAGCAAGGAAGGCCCCAGACUACCCCGGAUGCCCAACCGUCUACAGCUCGGGUGCCCGGCCCCCUCCUCCAGCUGGCUGGGGAAGACCCUGGCCGCCCCGGGUGCCCGGCCACUUCGGCACCGAGUGCCCGGCCCCGACCUGGGCGUUGGCAGAGGCCACCCCGGGUGCCCGGCCCGUCGGCCCGGGUGCCCGGCCGCCGCACCUCGGCCUCGCCUGGCCGCCCCGGGUACCUGGCCUGCCCCGCCUGGGAGCCUUCCGCCACCCCGGGUGCCCGGGCCAUCACCCCCGGGUGCCCGGCCUCCUCCUGGGCUCGGCCCCAGCCCGCACCGAGUGCCCACGCCAUCAACCCCCGGGUGCCCGGCCCAAAGGUUACUUGGCCGCGGCCUCCCUGACCGGACCGGGUGCCCGGUCCUCCGCACCCCGGGUGCCCGGACGACUCCGAAUAUACCUGCGUGCAUUUUGGGCAAUUGACCCUUGUACCCCUCUCUCCCCUCUAUGUCGUCCAUAGACUAUAUAUGCCCCUUCCCUAGCUCAUUUGAGAGGAUAGCAAAGUAUAUGUGAGAUAUUGAGAGAGCUUUGCUCAUCUUCCUCCUCUUGGAGAUCAUGACCUCCUAAGGGAGAAGAUCCUCUUGUGGAUUCCAAGGCCCCAUCUAGGGAAGGAUCCCCAUCAUAGGAUCAUCAAGACUCUUUCCUCAUAGGAUUGGGAUGAACUAGUUACCUCUUGUAUCUUCUUGUGUUGGAUUUGGACCCUUGUAUCUCUCUUUGUGUGAUUAGAUCUAGCACAUGUGUGAUUGGAUCAAGUCAAUUUAAGUGUUCCUCUUGUUUUCCCCCUUUGUGUUCUUCUUGUUCUUGGGGAUUUCCCCUCCAAUUCGUGAAAGAUCUUCACCUAGGGUUCCACCCUACAACAGAUAGGCUCUGCGUUCACGUACAACGGGUGCAAGACAGUUUUGCACAUGCGGAAUACUCGGGUUAAACUUGACGAGCCUAGCAUGUACAGACAUGGCCCGGAACACUGGAGACCGAAAGGUCGAACGUGAAUCAUAUAGUAGAUAUGAUCAACAUAGAGAUGUUCACCAUUGAUGACUACUCCAUCUCACGUGAUGAUCGGACAUGGUUUAGUUGAUUUAGAUCACGUAUCAUUUAGAUGACUUGAGGGAUGUCUAUCUAAGUGGGAGUUCUUAAGUAAUUUGAUUAAUUGAACUUUAAUUUAUCAUGAACUUAGUCCUGAUAGUAUUUGCAAAUUAUGUUAUAGAUCAAUAGCUUGCAAUGUUCCUAGAGAAAAAUAAGUUGAAAGAUGAUAGUAGCAAUGAUGCAGACUAGGUCCGUGAUCUGAGGAUUAUCCUCAUUGUCGCACAGAAAAAUUAUGUCCUUGAUGCACCGCUAGGUGACAGACCUAUUGCAGGAGUAGAUGUAGACGUUAUGAACGUUUGACAAGCUCGAUAUGAUGACUACUUGAUAGUUUAGUGCGCCAUGCUUUACGGCUUAGAACCGGGACUUCAAAAACGUUUUGAACGCCACAGAGCAUAUGAGAUGUUCCAAGAGCUGGAAUUGGUAUUUCAGACUCAUGUCUGAGUCAAGAGGUAUGAGACCUCUGAUAGUACUUUGCCUACAAAAUGGAGGAGAAUAACUCAACCAGUGAGCAUGUGCUCAGAAUGUCUGAGUACUACAAUUGCUUGAAUCAAGUGGGAGUUAAUCUUCCAGAUAAGAUAGUGAUUGGCAGAGUUCUCUAGUCACUAUCACCAAGUUACUGAAACUUCGUGAUGAACUAUAAUAUGCAAGGGAUAACGAAAACGAUUCCCGAGCUCUUCGUGAUGCUGAAAUCGAUGAAAGUGGAAAUCAAGAAAGAGCAUCAAUUGUUGAUGGUUAACAACACCACUAGUUUCAAGAAAAAGGGCAAAGGAAAAGAAAGGGAACUUCAAGAAGAAUGACAAGUGAAAGGAUCGAUAUAGUUGACUAGAGGGGGGGUGAAUAGGCAACUAACAAUUUUUAACCUUUUCUUUCUCAAAUUAAACUUUGCAUCAAAGUAGGUUGUCUAGAUAUGCAACUAGGUGAGCAACCUAUAUGAUGCAACAACAACAAGCACACAAGCAAGCAAGAGAUGCAACACAAUAUAAGCUUGCACAAGUAAAGGUACGAAAUAACCAAGAGUGGAGCCGGUGAAGACGAGGAUGUGUUACGGAAGUUCCUUCCCUUUGAGGGGAAGUACGUCUCCGUUGGAGCGGUGUGAAGGCACAAUGCUCCCCAAGAAGCCACUAGGGCCGUCGUAUUCUCCUCACGCCCUCACACAAUGCGAGAUGCCGUGAUUCCACUAUUGGUGCCCUUGGAGGCGGCGACCGAACCUUUACAAACAAGGUUGGGGCAAUCUCCACAACUUAAUUGGAGGCUCCCAACGACACCACGAAGCUUCACCACAAUGGACUAUGGCUCCGAGGUGACCUCAACCGUCUAGGGUGCUCAAACACCCAAGAGUAACAAGAUCCACAAGGGAUUAGUGGGGGAAUCAAAUUUCUCUUGGUGGAAGUGUAGAUCCGGGCCUUCUCAACCAAUCCCUAGAAAAUCAACAAGUUUGAUUGGCUAGGGAGAGAGAUCGGGAGAAAAUGGAGCUUGGAGCAACAAUGGAGUUUGGGGAUGGAAGAGGUAAGUUUUCUUGGAGAAGAAGACCCCUUUAUAUAGUGGGGGGGACACAUCCAACCGUUAUGCAGCCCGCAGCCCACAUCUGGGCGGUACUACCGUUGCUGGAGCGGUAGUACCGCUGCCACAGCGGCACUACCGCUGUGGCAAGCAGGCAGGCGGGCAAACAGGACAAAGGAGGAAGAAGUACACGCACUAGGGCGGUACUACCGCCCUGAGAGCGGUACUGCCGCUUCCUACACCCGCUGGAAAAACAGGGGAGGGCAGCGAGUAGAGCGGCAGUGGAGCGGAAGUAGGAGCAGUACUACCGCCCUUAGGGCGGUACUACCGCGCCCUACUGCCGUCCCUACUACCACCCCCUGCGUGGUCCUAUACGAAAACCCGACACGAAAAAGUCGAGAGCACAACAGGAGCGGUAGUACCAGCGGCACUAACAAGCGGUACUACCGCCAAUAGGCGGUAGUACCGCCCUGGCCGCGGUACUACCGCUUAGCACAAGGCACCCCUUGUUUUGCACAACACGGAAACUCCAACAGGCAAGAAGACAGCGUGGGUGCAAGGAAAAUGUGUACGUGAUGAUUCCACCCAUACUCUUCCGAAACGGAUCCCCUUUUGAUAGUACGGUUAUCCCUACGACUCAAUUCCACCGUAAAGAAACGAAGGAAAAUAAUCCGUCCAAAGUGAAGACCUCGAAGGGUAACAAUCGCAAAGUGCCCUUAUAUUAGAUCACCUGAAACACUUAGUGCACACGAUUAGUCCGCAAACGUAUUGUCAUCAAUCACCAAAACUACUUAAGGGAUAAAUAUGCCCUUACAAUCUCCCCCUUUUUGGUGGAUUGAUGACAACACGGGAUUUGCACAAAAUAGUAACUGAAAGUAAGCAAACCCCCUUCUAACAAAAUAUAGACGGGCUCCCCCUAGAGAUGUGCACCAAGGAAUUAGGAUGAAAGGCUAUGUGCACAUCUUUAGGAUCAAACUCCCCCUAUAUUUUGUAGGUAGACAACAUCCUUGCAUAUAAGAAUAACAACAAGUACAACUAAGCAAGGACGAGCAGAGAGCAAUAAUAUAAAUGCAGAAAAAGAAGCAUCUCACAAUAUAAUAGGGUACUUGAUACUAAAGUAAAUAGGAUAGGGUAGUUCAAAUAUGUCUUACACCAUAUGGUCUUGCUCACAGCCGAAAGAAAGCGAACGAAAACGAACGAACACAACGAACACGAGACACGAACACGAACACACCAACACACACGCCAACACAAGACCUAAGGCAAAUCGCUAACUCUCCCCCUUUGGCAUCAAGACACCAAAAGGGACGACACGACACACGAUGGUAGUAGGUCUCCAUGGCAUUACCAGUCAUGCUCCUCCUCCUCCUCAUCCUCAGAAACCUCUGCAGCACGGGGAGAAGUAUGAACUCCGGUGUCCUCCUCAGUGUCAGACCACGGGCAAUGCACUCUGAUCCAGGACUCCUCAUCAGUGAUCCUCUCCUCAGAGCCAUCUGGAGCCUCAAGGCCAACCUGUCUCAUAAUAGCCUUGUCACGGCGACGAGCCAUCUUGGCCUCCUUAUGAACCUUGUACUGGCCCUUGGCCUGAAAGCAGAACAGACGCUUCAUCUUCUCCUUGAGUUUCUUCGCCCAAGAGGGCUCCUCAGAUGGGGGCACAUACUCCGGCCCAUCAUCAUCAUCCUCCUCAUCAGAUAGGACAGUCUCCUACACUGGAGGUGCCGGAGUAGACGAACUCCACUUCUCCUUCUGACGCAACUCGAUAGUGUCAUGAGACACCAUGUUGUCUGUGACAAGCUCCUCAUCUGGAAACUUGGCUGCCCAAGUGUCCUCGAUAAGCUGCAUAAGAUAGGGCCCUUAGAUGAUGCACUUGCCUUCCAUGACAAUAGAGUAAAGUUCAGACCACAUCACAUGUGACACGUCCAGCACCAGGGGAGAGUCCUUCUCUUCUUGACAGAAUAGGAGCAAGUCAACUAGGUAAGAGUGCACCUGAUCCAAGUUGCCAACCCGAGGAAACAGACUGUUCCUGAAGAUACGAUGCAUGAUGUCAAGGAAGGGCCAGAGCUCAUAAGUAACCUUCCCAGUCUCUGACACCUUCCUGGUAGAAUAGGGCCAAAGCUUCUCCUUAUGAGUAGCAGCAAUCUCCUUAUGAGGGCGAAACCCAAGUGGGGUCUGGGCACCCUCAUCAUCGUACGAUAAGUUGACCAUGAAGUCCUUCCAAGGGGUGGACAGAAGACGGCCAUUGGUCAUCCAAGUCAGAGUGCGGGCCGGAUCAUGCCCAAAGUGAACGGUGGCAAAGAACUGGGCCACGAGCUCGGCAUCAAAGUCCUUGUUGAAGGAAAUGAUCCUCUUGAUAUCCAACUCCUCACACCUCUGUAGAGCAUCCCAAAGUAUUGCAAGUCCUUCUCCAUGUGCGAGAGAUCGACAGACUUGACCUUCACAAACAAGUUCUUCUUCUUCUUCUUCUUCAAGACAUCGUGAUAGAUAGACUGCUAAAACCUGUUCCAGAAUGGACGGCGCAGAAGAGCAGGCUCCUGGUCCGCAUGGUAGGGAUUGAGCUUCCUCUUGGUACAGAACUCCAUUCUAGACAUCUGAUUGGCAGGCUUGCGCAAAGCGGAGGUCUUUGACGUUGGAACCUUGGCCUUGCGUCUUGGUGGCGCAGAAGAGACACCCUCACCACCACCAGCAGCAGACUCUGGAACAUCUGACGAGCGAUAGCGCUUGGAACCUGUUGCACGGUCCGGAUUCUUGCGGCGGGCCUGAUGCCCGGAGCUACUACCACCUAAAAGCACACGCACACAAAGACCACAAAAGCAAGAGAGCAUAAGCCAGGGAAAGACGAAGACCAACAAGAGGAUUAGGUAUAGAAACAGGAGCAAUGGCAUCUCAGGGCGGUAGUACCGUGCACCAGAGCGGUAGUACCGCUUAUAAGCGGUAGUACCGCUAGGGUACAGUGGUAGUACCACUGGAGCGGUUGUCAGCGGGCUGACACCUACCGCGACAAGGUCCGGUACUACCGGAGAUGCAAAAGAUCAUAUUUCUACACCUAAUCAACAAACACCCUAGUCUAGCAGUCUCCCAAGUCCUUCCUAAGCCUCGAUUCAACAACUAAAUCGAGGGAUGCAACGAGUAUAGCCCAAAAACCUAGAUUCAAGAAGGAGAACCAAGGGAGAGAAGAACGGGGGCAAUACCGGCAUCCAUGGCACGAGGAGAGGGUGGGGAAUGAUCCCACCGGACGGAAACGAGGGAGCCGGCCUGAAUCCGGCGGCCCGGCGGCCAGCCUCCGGUGCUUGGGGAGUCGCCUGAGAGAGAGGAGAGGACGAGGGGAUGGGGCAAAUUGGACGGGUAUGGGGGAGUAGACACUCCCCCUGCCCAAUACAUACCCCACACGCCCAGCCCCAAGCGGUAGUACCGCGCAAGGCACGGUAGUACCGCCCUGGUGCAGAUCUGGAGCACGAAGCGCCCAUUGAACCACUCCAUGGUAGUACCGAGUCUGCCGGGCGGUAGUACCGCUUAUAAGCGGUAGUACCGCUCUGCCGACGCGGUAGUACCGCUCAGGCGCCCCAAAGCAGAAACAAGGAGGGGAAAGAAGACUUAUGCUCGACUAGAGAAAAACAGCAGGACCACACAAGACACGACAAGCCAAACCCGAACACGACCACACCAAAACACAACCACUCACAAGAGAGAAGCACAAGCAACAAGAAACAGCACACAAACAAACUCUCGAGAAGAGAGGGCGGUGGCCAUGGCCACCUAUGUUUGAGCAAAUGAUAUGGCGCCGCGAAGAAUUAUCCUUGGGCCCAUGACCAAAACUCCUCUUUGAAGCACAAGUACCAUAAAAAAUGGCUAAUGUGAAAGACUCGAUCAAUUUAUGCAUAAUGGGGGGAGGAAGAGUUCAUUGAGAGAACAACACUCCCCCUAUGUCCAUGCCUACACCUAAACAAGACAACAAGUUGAGUAUGGUGGGAUGUGCAAGGGUUCAAGUCACAUUGCUCGAAUCAAUGAUAUUUAGCUCAUGCCUUAACUCGCGAAAUCUUGCUUCAUCCCAGGGCUUCGCGAAAAUAUCCGCAAGGUUAUCAUGAGUGUUGACAUGGUUGAGCUCGAUCUCCCCUCGCCUAAUGUGAUCCCGGAUGAAGUGAUACCGAAUCUCAAUAUGCUUCGUCUUGAAGUGUUGGACCGGGUUGAGAGAAAUCUUGGUGGCACUUUCAUUGUCACACCAAAGAGGCACUUUGUCACAAAUGACACCGUAAUCCUUUAAAGUUUGCCUCAUCCAAAGAAGUUGUGCACAACAACUACCGGCCGCCACAUACUCCGCUUCGGUGGACGAGAGAGACACACAACUUUGUUUCUUGGAAGACCAACUCACCAAAGAGCAACCAAGAAAUUGGCACCCUCCGGAAGUGGACUUCCUAUCCACUUUGUCUCCCGCCCAAUCGGAGUCCGAAUAUCCUACAAGCUUGAAGUUUUCUCCUCAUGGGUACCAUAAGCCAAAGUUUGGGGUAUGAGCCAAAUAUCGAAAGAUUCGCUUGACCGCCACAAAGUGGCUUUCCUUAGGUGCGGCUUGAAACCGUGCACAAAUUCCCACACUCAACAUGAUAUCCGGUCUAGAUGCACAAAGGUAAAGCAAGGAGCCAGUCAUGGAGCGAUAUACCUUUUGAUCCACCGCUUUACCAUUGGGAGCAAUGUCAAGUUGGCACUUGGUGGGCAUUGGAGUGGAAACCGGCUUGACAUCACUUAGCUUGAAUCUCUUUAGCAUGUCUUGAGUGUAUUUGGCUUGGUUGAUGAAGGUUCCUUCUCUUCUUUGUUUGACUUCGAAUCCAAGGAAGAACUUCAACUCUCCCAUCGAAGACAUCUUGAACUCAGAGGUCAUGAGAGUGGCAAAUUCCUCAUUGAAAGCUUUGUUAGGGGAACCAAAGAUAAUAUCAUCAACAUAUAGUUGGCACACAAACAACUCCCCUUUGACCUUCUUAGUAAAAAGAGUGGGGUCGAUUAGCCUAACUUCAAAUCCACGGUCUUGUAACAACUCGGUAAGGUGGUCAUACCACGCACGUGGGGCUUGUUUAAGGCCAUAGAGUGCCUUAUCGAGUUGGUACACAUGAUGGGGAAAGUAGGGAUCCUCGAACCCGGGGGGUUGCUUGACAUAUACCAACUCAUUAAUAGGACCAUUAAGAAAAGCAGUUUUAACAUCCAUUUGUUGCAACUUAAAGUUGUGAUGAGAAGCAUAAGCAAUCAACAAACGAAUGGAUUCAAGGCGAGCAACGGGAGCAAAGGUUUCACCGUAGUCGAUACCCUUGACUUGGGAGUAGCCUUGUGCCACCAAUCUUGCCUUGUUGCGAACGAUGGUCCCAUGAGCAUCUUGCUUGUUCUUGAAUAUCCACUUGGUUCCAAUGACAUUGUGGUUCCCCGUUGGCCUUGGCACCAAUCUCCACACCUUGUUGUACUCGAAGUUGUUGAGUUCUUCAUGCAUGGCAUUAAGCCAAUCCGGAUCUUCGAGCGCCUCAUAUACCUUUUGGGGUUCAACACAAGAGACAAACGCGUGAUGUUCACAAUAGUUUGCCAAUUGUCUAAGAGUGCUUACCCCCUUUUGAAUGCUUCCAAGAACAUUCUUCAUGAGAUGAACCUUGGUGGAGAGCUUGGAAGCAAUCUUGGCAGCACGACGCUCCAAUUCCUCCUCGGGGGUGAGUCGAGGAGCGGUCACUUGAUCAUCUUGAGUGUCGUCUUGAGCUUGUUCUUGAUCUCGAGGAAGCUCUUGAUCUUGAACUUGCUCGGAGGAGAGAACUUGACCUUGGGCAUCACUUGAUGUUACAACACCAUCUUGGGAUUGAUCUUGCCCUUGGUCUUAUUCUUGAGGUUGGGGGCCUUCACUUUGUUCUUCGGAAGCGUGUGGGCCUUGGGUUGGUGAUGGCUCCACUUGAGUGGAGCAUUGUCCUUCUCCUUCGGCCACAAGGGGUUCCUCAAUGGGUAGGAUAAAACCAACACCCAUUCUUCUUAUGGCUUGAGGAGGAAUUUCAUGACCUACAUCACAAGUGCCACUUUGCUCCACUUGGGAGCCAUUAUUCUCAUCAAACUCCACGUUACACGUCUCCUCAAUAAGCCCCGUGGACUUAUUGAGGACACGGUAAGCAUGAGAGUUUGUAGCAUAACCAACAAAUAUGCCCUCAUAAGCUCUAGCCUCGAAUUUAAACAAACAAACACCUUUCUUGAGAAUGAAACACUUACACCCGAACACCCGAAAGUACUUGAGGUUGGGCUUGUUACCGGUGAGUAUCUCAUAUGGAGUCUUGUUCAAGCCUUUGCGGAGAUAGAGACGAUUUGAUGCAUGACACGCGGUGUUGAUGGCUUCGGCCCAAAAGUUGUAUGGAGACUUGAACUCCGCCCUCAUGGUCCUUGCCGCAUCCAUCAACGUCCGGUUCUUCCUCUCCGCAACACCAUUUUGUUGAGGGGUGUACGGUGCGGAAUAUUUAUGCUUGAUCCCCUCAUCACUAAGAAACUCAUCCAAGGUGUAGUUCUUGAACUCGGUGUCGUUGUCACUUCUUAUUGUCAAGAUCUUUGCAUUGUGUUGACGUUGGGCUUCAUUUGCAAAGUCAAUGACGGUUUGUUGGGUCUCGCUCUUCCUCUUGAAGAAAUAUACCCAAGUGUAUCUUGAAUAGUCAUCCACAAUGACCAAGCAAUACUUUCUACCCCCAAGACUAUCAAAGGAUGGAGGCCCAAAGAGAUCCAUAUGAAGGAGCUCCAAAGGCCUCUUCGAGUAAAUGAUAGUCAUGGGAGGGUGAGCCUUUUCAUGUAGCUUUCCUUCGAUACAAGCACUGCAAGCACGAUCUUUAGCAAAACUAACAUUCGUUAGUCCACGGACAUGGUCCCCCUUGAGAAGACUUUGCAAAGAUCUCAUAUUGACAUGGGCUAGACGGUGAUGCCAAAGCCAUCCCACGUCAACUUUAGCCAUUAGGCAUGUCGCGGUCUUAGUGGGUCGCUCCGAAAAGUUAAUCACAUAGAGACCGUUCUCAACAUGCCCAACAAAGGCUACUUUAAGAGUCUUGCUCCACAAGAGGGCCACAGUGUCAAUAUCAAAGAAGGUGGCAAAGCCCAUGAGUGCAAGUUGACGAACGGAAAGUAAAUUGUAUGCAAGGGACUCAACAAGCAUGACCUUCUCGAUCGUGAGAUCAUGAGAAAUGACAACCUUACCGAGUCCCAAUACCUUGGACGACUAGGCAUCACCCUACUCGACAUUGGUGGGCAUAGAUGGAAUCUUGUGCACGUCCACCACCAAGUCCUUGCUUGCGGCCAUAUGAUUUGUAGCUCCACUAUCGAGUAACCAUGAUCCCCCACCGGAAGCAAACACCUACAAGAGAUCAAUGCUUGGAUUUAGGUACCCAUUUUGUAAUGGGUCCUUUGAUGUUAGUGACAAGGGUCUUAGGAACCCAAAUAGACCAUUCAAUGUACUCAUAAGGAGAACCAACAAAUUUGGCAUAAACAUGCCCAUCACUAGCACGACACAACACGUAAGAAGGGUUAAAGUCGCCGGCUUUGUUGGAAGGGGUGGCAUUGCUUCUCUUGGCACCACCACCCUUCACAUUAUUCUUCUUCUCCUUGGAAGCACCCUCUCCCUCCUUCACAAAGGUUUGCUUGAGAGGGGGAGGUCGUUUGGUCUUGUCAUUCUUCUUCUUGUUCUUGGGCAUGGGUGCAAACCCAAUCCCUUCCUUGGCCACAGCUUCCUUUUGAUUGCUCAAAAGGUCGUUGAGGUUCUUCUCACCUUGUAUGCAAGACACAAGGCCUUUCUCAAGUUGCAUCUUCAACUUGGCAUUCUCCUCAAUAAGAUGCACAUGUUCACAACAUGGGUUAGUAGCAUUUGCAUUAUCAAUCAAAACCAUAUGAGGAAAGGUGGCUUUCUCCUUAGUUAGCUUCACUUGGAGUUGAUCGUGAGACUCUUAAGACUAGCAUGAAUACCUUUCAAGGCUUUAUGGGCCUUGUCAAGUAUAUCAAACUCUUCCUUGAGUCUAGCAAGAUCAACUUCAAGUUUGGCCUUCUCGGAAUUUAGCACACGAGAUAAGACACAAGCAUGAUCAAGAUCUUUCUUUAAUUUAGCAUGAUCAUCGUUGUGACUCCUCAAGAGCCAAACGAAGACCACGCUAUUCCUCAAGAGCAUUAGAGAGAUCCGAUAUCUCAUCGGCAUAAUCACGACUAUGCCCCUCCAUAUUAGAGAUGGUUUCUUCAUGAGCCUUGAUGGUGUCAUUGGCUUCACCAAGUUGUUCCAAGAGAGCAACAAAGUGCUUCUUGGACUUACCCUUGAGCUUACUCAUAAAGGAAUCAAACUCAUUUUCUUCCUCAUUAGGCCCCACAUUUUCAUCAAUGCAAUCCGUCAAGGAAGGAUUAGUAAUGAUGGUUACCUUGUUGGUUGCUUUAGCCAUGAGGCACUUGGCGAUGAUGUUCUCAUUGGGUGAUUCGAAGAGGGAUACCCGAGGAGUUGUUGCAAUGGCCACGGAGGCCAUAGCAACCGAGUCACCGCCUUCAUCAUCAUCAUCAUCCUCAUUGUACUCUUCUUGUGCAACCAACCCCUUGGGAGGAGUCCUCUUGGUGAAGUUGCUCUUGUUAGGGAAAGACUUGGCUUUGUCCUUUCGAAUGAGCUUGCCACCAUUGUCUUCUCUCUUCCCAUAAGGGCAUUCCGCAACAAAAUGGCUCACAUUGCCACAAUUAUAGCACGUCCUCACGCGUUGCUUGACCUUGUUGCCACUUGAGUUGUUCUUGUUGAAGUUGGGCCUUGAGUUCUUCUUACUCCAAAAUUGUCGUGAAGCGAGAGCCAUGUGCUCAUGAUAAUCAUACUUUGUAUCUUCGGGGUUGUUCUCAUCUUCUUCCUCUUCUUCUUCUUCUUCUUCUUCUUCUUCUUCCACACUAACCUUGGCCUUUAAUGCAAGGUUGGGCUUCUUUGCUCUUUGAGAACGUAGCACCGCAUUGUCGGCGGUCUUGUCCAGGAUGCUCAUAGCCACAAACUCAUCCAACACUUCACUUGAGGACAAAGUGUGCAAGUCCGGCCUUUGACAAAUGACGGAGGACAUGGCCUUGUGGUAAGGCAUCAUUGCCUUGAGGAAUUUGCGCUUGAUCCAAUUGUCAUCCGUGUCCUUGCUCCCAUGAUCUCAGAGUGAGACCGCGAGUUUGGUUACUCUCCGAUAAAGCUCGCGAGGUUCUUCAUCUUCUUUCAUUGCAAACUCAUCGGCUUCAUCUUGCACCACUUCAUAGUUGGAGCAUUGAAUGCUUGCGCUACCCCGGUAGAGGGAGACAACACAAAGCCAUGCAUCUUUGGCCAAGGCGAAGGGCCGAAGAUGAGGGAGAUCUUCGGGUGGAAUUGCAUCUUGGAUGAUGAAGAGAGCAUUCUCAUUGAAUUGAUUAUCCGCGGCUUCUCUAGGGGUGAAGUUGCUUGGGUCAUGCGGAUAGAAACCUUCUUCAAUGAUUCUCCAAAGAUUAGUAUUCACAUGAUUUAAAUGACGCUUAAAGCGAUAAACCCAAGAAUCAAAGUCCUCAUUUUUCACAAUCUUAGGGGGAGGACCGGCAUGAUUCAAAUGAGUAGAAGGAAUCGGUCCACCAUAAACAAGUGGAGGUUCCACAUGGGCAAAGAUGCCGGUGCCAUUCUUACCACUAUAAGAAGGAGCUUUUUCACUAGUAGCUUCCCCCUUGUCGGAGUUAGCAUCCGUCACCUUGUUAGUGGGAUCACCCACUUUCAAUGGUGCGGUGGAUAGUUUAAGCCCUUCAAUGAAUUUAUUAAACAUGCUUUCAACCUCGGUCGUCAUGGAGGUUUUCAACGUGUCCAAGGCCAUAUUGAAUUCCUCACGAGAGACCGAGGUUCCCCCAUCGCCCGUAGACGAGACCGGAUUCGCACCGAAGUGCUCCUCCACACCGUCUACGGUGUCAACCAUACUCUUCGGAUGGCAAAGUCCUUAAUAAAGUGACGAGGCUCUGAUACCGAUUAAAAGGAUCGAUAUAGUUGACUAGAGGGGGGUGAAUAGGCAACUAACAAUUUUUAACCUUUUCUUGCUCAAAUUAAACUUUGCAUCAAAGUAGGUUGUCUAGAUAUGCAACUAGAUGAGCAACCUAUAUGAUGCAACAACAACAAGCACACAAGCAAGCAAGAGAUGCAACACAAUAUAAGCUUGCACAAGUAAAGGUACGAAAAUAACCAAGAGUGGAGCCGGUGAAGACGAGGAUGUGUUACCGAAGUUCCUUCCCUUUGAGGGAAGUAUGUCUCCGUUGGAGCGGUGUGGAGGCACAAUGCUCCCAAGAAGACACUAGGGCCACCGUAUUCUCCCCACGCCCUCACACAAUGCGAGAUGCCGUGAUUCCACUAUUGGUGCCCUUGGAGGCGGCGACCGAACCUUUACAAACAAGGUUGGGGCAAUCUCCACAACUUAAUUGGAGGCUCCCAACGACACCACGAAGCUUCACCACAAUGGACUAUGGCUCCAAGGUGACCUCAACCGUCUAGGGUGCUCAAACACCCAAGAGUAACAAGAUCCGCAAGGGAUUAGUGGGGGGAAUCAAAUUUCUCUGGGUGGAAGUUAGAUCUGGGCCUUCUCAACCAAUCCCUAGAAAAUCAACAAGUUUGAUUGGCUAGGGAGAGAGAUCGGGCGAAAAUGGAGCUUGGAGCAACAAUGGAGUUUGGGGAUGGAAGAGGUAAGUCUUCUUGGAGAAGAAGACCCUUUAUAUAGUGGGGGGGCACAUCCAACCGUUAUGCAGCCCGCAGCCUGCAUCUGGGCGGUACUACCGUUGCUGGAGCAGUAGUACCGCUGCCACAGUGGCACUACCACUGUGGCAAGCAGGCAGACGUGCAAACAGGACUGAGGAGGAAGAAGUACACGCACUAGGGCGGUACUACCGCCCUGAGAGCGGUACUACCGCCUAUAGGCGGUACUGCCGCUUCCUACAGCCGCUGGAAAAACAGGGGAGGGCAGCGAGCAGAGCGGCAGUGGAGCGGAAGUAGGAGCAGUACUACCGCCCUCAGGGCGGUACUACCGUGCCCUACUGGCGUCCCUACUACCGCCCCCUGCAUGGUCCUAUACGAAAACCUGACACGAAAAAGUCGAGACCACAACAGGAGCGGUAGUACUAGUGGCACUAACAAGCGGUACUACCGCGUAGCACAAGGCACCCCUUGUUUUGCACAACACGGAAACUCCAACAGACAGGAAGACAGCGUGGGUGCAAGGAAAAUGUGUACGUGAUGAUUCCACCCAUACUCUUCCGAAACGGAUCCCCUCUUGAUAGUACAGUUAUCCCUACGACUCAAUUCCACCGAAAAGAAACAAAGGAAAAUAAUCCGUCCAAAGUGAAGACCUCGAGGGGUAACAAUCGCAAAGUGCCCUUAUAUUAGAUCACCUGAAACACUUAGUGCACACGAUUAGUCCGCAAACGUAUUGUCAUCAAUCACCAAAACUACUUAAGGGGUAAAUAUGCCCUUACAACAAGCAAGUUGCUAGUCCCGUGAAGAAGACCAAAGCUAGACCUAAGCCUGAAACUAAGUGCUUCUACUGCAAAGGGAAUGAUCACUGGAAGCGGAACUACCCCAAAUAUGCGGAUAAGAAGGAUGGCAAAGUGAACAAAGGUAUAUUUGAUAUACAUGUUAUUGAUGUGUACUUUACUAGUGUUCAUAGUAACCCCAGGGUAUUUGAUAUCGGUUCAGUUGCUAAGAUUAGUAACUCGAAACUGGAGUUGCAAAAUGAACACAGACUAGUUAAGGGCGAGGUGACGAUGUGUGUUGGAAGUGAUUCCAAAUUUGAUAAGAUUAACAUCGCACACUCCCUCUACCUUCGGGAUUAGUGUUGGACAUAAAUAAAUGGUAUUUGGUGUUUGCGUUGAGCAUGAAUAUGAUUGGAUCAUGUUUAUUGCGAUACGGUUAUUCAUUUAAGUCAGAGAAUAAUUGUUGUUCUGUUUACAUGAAUAAAACCUUCUAUGGUCAUACACCCAAUGUGAAUGGUUUAUUGAAUCUCGAUCGUGAUGAUACGCAUAUUCAUAAUAUUGAUGCCAAAAGAUGCAAAGUUGAUAAUGAUAGUGCAACAUAUUUGUGGCACUGCCGUUUAAGUCAUAUUGGUGUAAAGCGCAUGAAGAAACUCCAUACGGAUGGAUUUUUGGAAUCACUUGAUUAUGAAUCGUUUGAUACUUGCGAACCAUGCCUCAUGGGAAAGAUGACUAAAACUCCGUUCUCCGGAACAAUGGAGCGAGCUAAUGACUUGUUGGAAAUAAUACAUACCGAUGUAUGCGGUCCGAUGAGUGUUGAAGCUCGCGGCAGAUAUCGUUAUUUUCUGACCUUCGCAGAUGAUUUGAGCAGAUAUGGGUAUAUCUACUUGAUGAAACACAAGUCUGAAGCAUUUGAAAUGUUCAGAGAAUUUCAGAGUGAAGUGGAGAAUCAUCGUAACAAGAAAAUAAAGUUCCUACGAUCUGAUCGCGGAGGCGAAUAUUUGAGUUACGAGUUUGGCCUUCAUUUAAAACAAUGUGGAAUAGUUUCACAACUCACGCCACCUAGAACACCAUAGCAUAAUGGUGUGUCCGAAUGUCGUAACCGUACUUUAUUAGAUAUGGUGCGAUCUAUGAUGUCUCUUACCGAUUUACCACUAUCGUUUUGGGGUUAUGCAUUAGAGACAGCUGCAUUCACGUUAAAUAGAGCACCGCCUAAAUUCAUUGAGAUGACACCGUAUGAACUGUGGUUUUACAAGAAACCUAAGCUGUUGUUUCUUAAAGUUUGGGAUUGCGAUGCUUAUGUGAAAAAGCUUCAGCCUGAUGAGCUCGAACCCAAAUCGGAGAAGUGUGUCUUCAUAGCAUACCCAGAAGAAACUGUUGGGUACACCUUCUAUCACGGAUCCGAAGGCAAGAUCUUUGUUGCUAAGAAUGGAUCCUUUCUAGAGAAGGAGUUUUCUAUCGAAAGAAGUGAGUGGGAGGAAAGUAGAACUUGAUGAGGUAGUUGUACCUUCUCUCGAAUUGGAAAGUAGCUCAUCACAGAAAACCGUUCUCGUGAUGCCUACACCAACUAGAGAGGAAGCUAAUGAUAAUGAUCAUGAAACUUCAGAUCAAGUUACUACCGAACCUCGUAGGUCAACCAGAGCACGUUCCACACCAAAGUGGUACACCAAUGUUACUAGACCAUGACGAACCUACGAACUAUGAAGAAGCGAUGAUGAGCCCAUAUUCCGAUAAAUGGCUUGAGGCCAUGAAAUCUGAGAUAGGAUCCAUGUACGAGAACAAAGUGUGGACUUUGGUUGACUUGCCCGAUGAUCGGCAAGCCAUAGAGAAUAAAUGGAUCUUCAAGAAGAAGACUGACGCUGAUGGUAAUGUUACUGUCUACAAAGCUCGACUUGUCAUGAAAGGUUUUUCGACAAGUUCAAGGAGUUGACUACGAUUAGACCUUCUCACCUGUAGCGAUGCUUAAGUUUGUCCGAAUCAUGUUAGCAAUUGCCGCAUUUUAUGUUUAUGAAAUCUGGCAAAUGGACGUCAAAACUGCAUUCCUUAAUGGAUUUCUUAAAGAAGAGUUGUAUAUGAUGCAACCAGAAGGUUUUGUCGAUCCUAAAGGUGCUAACAAAGUGUGCAAGCUCCAGCGAUCCAUUUAUGGACUGGCGCAAGCAUCUCGGAGUUGGAAUAUAUGCUUUGAUGAGGUGAUCAAAGCAUAUGGUUUUAUAUAGACUUUCGGAGAAGCCUGUAUUUACAAGAAAGUGAGUGGGAGCUCCAUAGCAUUUCUAAUAUUAUAUGUGGAUGACAUAUUGUUGAUUGGAAAUGAUAUAUAAUUUCUGGAUAGCAUAAAAGGAUACUUGAAUAAGAGUUUUUCAAUGAAAGACCUCGGUGAAAUUGCUUAUGUAUUAGGCAUCAAGAUCUAUAGAGAUAGAUCGAGACGCUUAAUAGGACUUUCACAAAGUACACACCUUGACAAGAUUUUGAAGGAGUUCAAAAUGGAUCAGUCAAAGAAGGAGUUCUUGUGUGUAUUGUAAGGUAUGAAGUUGAGUAAAGACUCAAAACCCGACCACGGUAGAAAAUAGAAAGAGAAUGAAAGUCAUUCCCUAUGCCUCAGCCAUAGGUUCUAUAAAGUAUGCUAUGCUUUGUACCAGACCUAUUGUGUACCUUGCCAUGAGUUUGGCAAGAGGGUACGAUAGUGAUCCAGGAGUGGAUCACUGGACAGCGGUCAAAGUUAUCCUUAGUUACCUAAGAGGACUAAGGAAAUAUUUCUCGGUUAUGGAGGUGAUAAAGAGUUCGUCGUAAAGAGUUAUGUUGAUGCAAGCUUUUACACCGAUCCGGAUGACUCUGAGUCUUAAUCUGGAUACAUAUUGAAAGUGGGAGCAAUUAGCUAGAGUAGCUCCAUGCGAAGCAUUGUAGACAUAGAAAAAUUGCAAAAUACAUACGCCUCUGAAUGUGCCAGACCCGUUGACUAAACCUCUCUCACAAGCAAAACAUGAUCACACCUUAGUACUCUUUUGGGUGAUAAUCACAUAGCGAUGUGAACUAGAUUAUUGACUCUAGUAAACCCUUUGUGUGUUGGUCACAUGGCGAUGUGAACUAUGGGUGUUAAUCACAUAAAGAUGUGAACUAUUGGUGUUAAAUCACAUGGUGAUGUGAACUAGAUUAUUGACUCUAGUGCAAGUGGGAGACUGAAGGAAAUAUGCCCUAGAGGCAAUAAUAAAUUUGUUAUUUUAUAUUUCCUUAUACCAUGAUAAAUGUUUAUUAUUCAUGCUAGAAUUGUAUUAACCGGAAACUUGAUACAUGUGUGGAUACAUAGACAAAACACAAUGUCCCUAGUAAGCCUCUACUAGACUAGCUCGUUAAUCAAAGAUGGUUAAGUUUCCUAACCAUAGACAUGUGUUGUCAUUUGAUGAAUGAGACCACAUCAUUAGGAGAAUGAUGUGAUGGACAUGACCCAUCCAUUAGCGUAGCAUAUCGAUCGUUCAGUUUUACUGCUAUUGCUUUCUUCAUGUCAUAUACAUAUUCCUUUGAGUAUGAGAUUAUGCAACUCCCAGAUACCGGAGGAAUACCUUGUGUGCUAUCAAACGUCACGACGUAACUGGGUGAUUAUAAACAUGCUCUACAGGUAUCUCCGAAGGUGUUUGUUGGGUUGGCAUAUAUCGAGAUUAGGAUUUGUCACUCUGAGUAUCGGGAGGUAUCUCUGGGCCCUCUCGGUAAUACACAUCAUAAGAAGCCUUGCAAGCAAUGUGACUAAUGAGUUAGUUGUGGGAUGAUGUAUUACAGAACGAGUAAAGAGACUUGUCGGUAAUGAGAUUGAACUAGGUAUGAAGAUACCGACGAUCGAAUCUCGGGCAAGUAACAUACCGAUGACAAAGGGAAUAACGUAUGUUGUCAUUACAGUAUGACCGAUAAAGAUCUUCGUAGAAUAUGUAGGAGCCAAUAUGAGCAUCCAGGUUCCACUAUUGGUUAUUGAACGGAGAGAUGUCUCGGUCAUGUCUACAUAGUUCUCGAACCCGCAGGGUGCGCACGCUUAACGUUCGACGACGAUUUGUUAUUAUAUGAGUUAUGUGAUUCGGUGACCAAAUGUUGCUCGGAGUCCCGGAUGAGAUCACGGACAUGAUGAGGAGUCUCGAGGUGUUCGAGAGGUAAAGAUUGAUAUAUAGGAUGAUGGUAUUCGGACAUCGGAAGUGUUCCGGGAAGCACCGGGUACUUAUCGGGUCACCGGAAGGGGUUCCGGGCACCCCCGGCAAAAGAUAUGGGCCUUAUGGGCCAAGAGGGGAAACACACCAGCCACAAAGGGGAUGGUGCGCCCCCCAUAUGGGCUGGCCAAAUUGGAGAGGGAAAGGGGAAGGAGGAAAGGAAAAAGGGAAUAGGAUUCCCCCUUCCCCCUCUUCCCUUCCUACUUCGAAUAGGAAUAGAAAAGGGGGGAGGCCGAAUUGGGAGGUGCCCAAGUAGGAUUCCUCCUACUUGGGGCGCCCCCUUGGCUGCCUCUCCUCCCCUCCAACCUAUAUAUAUGAGGGGGGGCACCGCUAGAACACACACCAACCAUUGCAAGCCGUGUGCGCCCCCCCUCCACAGUUUAUGCCUCCGGUCAUAUUCACGUAGUGCUUAGGCGAAGCCCUGCGCGGAUCACUUCACCAUCACCGUCACCAUGCCGUCGUGCUGACAGAACUCUCCCUCGACACUUUGCUGGAUCAAUAGUUUGAGGGACGUCAUCGAGCUGAACGUGUGCAGAACUUGGAGGUGCCGUACGUUCGGUGCUUGACCGGUCGGAGCGAGAAGAAGUUUGACUACAUCAACCGCGUUGUCAAACGGUUCCGCUUUCAGUAUACGAGGGUACAUAGACACACUCCCCCCUCUCGUUGCUAUGCAUCUCCUAGAUAGAUCUUGUGUGGACGUAGGAAAAGUUUUGAAAUUGCAUGCUACGUUUCCCAACACCCAGCUAGACUCUUUGAGAUUGCGCCGGACUUCCAACAGGACCUACGCUGCACGAUCUUGCUACCAGACCCUGUUCACCAGAUCCAUACCAUGACGCACUAGUAGCUCACCUGGCGGACCUAGGCGCCCCUAAAAUCCGUUUCUUCGCUUGGCAUGCCAAUUAGGAUAGCUGCUGGAUGGCCGCACACCUGGCUAGGCAUGGGCUCCUGCACGACGACGAAUGUGCGCUAUGUGAACGGGUGAUGGAAACGGUGCAGCACCUCCUACUCCACCACACUUUCUCUUAGGUUGUUUGGCAUGAAAUCUUUGCAUGGUGUCGAGAUAGUACUACCCCGCCUCAUGCCGGCGAGACCUUGGUGGGCGUCCUCAACUCUCAACGCACCCACAAGUAAGCAGAAAGGCAUUGCCUCCUUCCUCCUGCUCACGGCAUGGUCUAUCUAGAAGCCUCGAAAUGCCCGCAUCUUCGACAAUUCUCGGUCUCUACUUCCAUGACGCUAUAAUCAAUCAAAGAAAAAGGAUGCUCCCUAGGUGAAGGACGGGGCAAAGGGCCUAGCUAGUUUGUUGCCAAGAUAAUACCUUAGUGCCUGGGGCUGAGCAACCCCUCCUCUUUUAUGCUCUUGUAACCUCCUGUCGUGCCUUUCUGUGUGAGUGUCGCGGGACGUUACCCUUGUAACUCAACUUUGUUUCUCCCCUACCUAUCAAUGGAAUGCUAUGCAAUUUGCAUAUACGCAAAAAAUAUAAUUCUAACUCGUCAUCUUUCAUGCAUACUUUGUUUUUGCAUUUUCUUACCCUAUCAUGUUAUUAUUUUAUCCCCUUUUAUAUUCUCAUACCAUUAUACUGGAUUUUCUCCCAUGGAGCCGACAAUUCAUAUGAUUUCAAGAUAAACUCAAAGCGCCACCGCCUAAUUUGAAGAGGUUCGACACCAUCCAAACCUAUUUUGCCAGUGUAGAGCACUAGAGUCAUGGAGACUAAUUUUGAAUCAUGUGGGUGCGAUCAAUGCAAAGCUCCGAAAAUCUAUUCAGGCAUUCUACGGUUUAUGAUAAGAAUAAGCAUUGUAAGAGUUUUGCUUUGAGAUAAGUGCUUUUUUCUUCCCUCAACUUAUCGCGAAGUGUGGCUUUCACCCCUGAACUCUUUUGUGGUGCAACUUUCGUCCCUCAACUCUUAAUACCAGAUAUAGUUAGUCCAUGGCAGUGGUAUUCAAUAAUCAAACCUAGUUUUGACCUUUUUUGCGAAAAUUCUAGUUUUGACCUUAUGUGACAUGGUUUUGGUCACACCAUCACUGUAAGGUGGCAUAGGGUUGCAUGUCAUUGAGAGAAAUCUCUCCCUCUCUCUCCGUGUCAUGUCACCGAUCCAUUGGCGCCGCUCCAGCAAGUGACAAGAGCAACUCCACCCGCUUUAAAUAUCCACUGUGUGAUGCUACUCUAGGAGGCCGGUGAUGGGAGCAACUCCUCCCGCUUCAGAUGGUCAACAUGAUAGUUAGGUGAGGAUAGGACAAUAGGCGAUGGAUCAGAUCUAAACCGGCAUAGGGAGAGAAAGGAGCACAAUUCGCCAAGAUUCAAUCCCAAACCCUUGAGGCAUUCCCCUUACAGUAAUGAUGUGAUCAAAAUCGUGCCAUGAAAAGUGAAGACCGGAUUUGGUAGAGCAAUACACAUGUUAGGGACUAAUUCUACAUGAUAAUUAAAAGUUGAGGGACAAAGGUUGCACCAAGAUGUGGUCAAAACAAUGACAUAUCAAGUCGAAACUGGGUUUGACCCACGAAUACCACUACGAGGGACUAACUAUACAUGGUAUUAAGAGCUGAGGGACGAAGGUUACACCAAAAUUAAGUUUAGGACGAAAGCCACACUUCGCGAUUAGUUGCAGGACGAAAAUGCACUUUACUCUUUUGCUUUUGGCAGGAACCCAAAAUGUAUUUGGAUAUUGUUCAGGGGUCCUGUCAGUGCCAAUAGCAUUCCAGUUUCUCUCAAAACCUAAUCCUUCCAUUCUGGGAAUCCUGUGAAGAAUCAACUUCUUGAGAACAUCACGCGCAGUUUGAUGCCCUUUGAGUCCUUGAACAUCCCUGUCUCAAGAAGAUUCUUCAACCUAUCAUUUUCUCCCGAAAUAGCACAUUUUCCUCGGAUGAGGGUUAGUUUCAUCAGGAAUAUCAGUUGCAUUUCUGUCAGCAGUAGUAGAUGUUUCUGUAAGUGCAUCUAGUGCCACCCCUUGUUGGUUUUGGAGUAUUGACGACAAACUUGGUUAAGGGACUAAUGUGUUUGUGACAUUCACAGGAGAACACUGAUAGAAGUCCCCGGAGAUUCGGUUUACCCAUCAAAGAUGACCCUUAAAAAUGUGUGAAGACAUUGAAGAUAAUGGUGGUAUGCGAAGACUUUCACUUGAAGACAAUGGAGCGUGAAGACAUAGUCUUUUGGUAGUUUCAUUUUCUUCUCUCUUGAGUCAUAGGAACCACCAUACUGUUAAGUGGGUUCGGGGUAAACAAAGUUAGAAACUGGCGUGAUGCUCAACCUAAAAUCCUAUGUCUUUGAGUGAAGAAAAUGAGAGAAAACCUCUUCCAGAGUUGGUUGAGUCAGCUUUGCUUGUAGCCCAAGCCAAGCUGCUACGUGUGUUUGAAAUCCGACCGUUGGACACGUGUCGGUUGGCCACUGAUCUAGGGUCAGUUUGGUCAUAUCAUGCCGGGUUGCCCUAGCUAUAAAUAUCCCACACCCUCCACCAUAAGCUGGUGGCGGUUCCGAGUUAUUGCAAGACUUUUGUCGUUUGAGAGCAACCCACCUCCGAAGUCUUUGAGAGAGAAUUCCCGCGAGGAAAAACCCAAACACCCAGAGCCCAAAGUGAUUGAGCAUCACUGAAUUUAUUCUGUUCUGCGUGAAUUGAAGAUUUGUUACACUUGAAGAUUGUGAUCUUCCAGCCGGUUAAGCGUCGCGUUCUGAGCAUCCAAGAGUCAUUGUGGAUUGCGGUGUACAAAGUCCGUGAAGGUUUGGAAGUCUACCUUGAAGACUUACCUGAGUGAUUGGGCGAGUCUACAGUGACCUUAGCUCAAGGGGAAUAAGGUGAAGACUAGGUCUUCUGGGUUCAGUAUCAACCUCCCUAACCAUACGUACAACUGUCAUAGAAGCUGGAACUGGUCAAACAAAUUAUGUGUCUUCUCCGAGCAACUGCUUCUAUCACUUCACCCCUUUACUUACUAUUUAGUCUCGUGAAGCCUUUACUUGCUAAUUCUUUUUGAAGACAUUGUGUGAAGACAAUCCCUCUGAUUACAUCUUUGUCAUUACAUUAACAGUUUCCAUUGUUCUAUGCUAUCUGGUUUGCUGUCUGUCUUCACUUCCCACUUCAAUUGUGUUAAUAUGCCAGCAUGCCUAGUAUAGUUUAUCUUCCAUUAUACCAUGUUUACUUACUAUUUUGCUUCCACUUUUUUGAAGACAUUGCCUGUUUCAAAGACAAUCAUAAAAAUUGCCUAUUGACCCCCUCUAGUUAAUAACUAGCACUUUCAAUUGGUACUAGAGCAACUUUUUCUGUGUGAUUCUCUUUAACCACCUGGAGUUUUAGCUAUGUCGACUACAUGGAAUCAAGGUCUCUGCUGCGUGCCCCGUCUUCGAUGUCACUGGUUACCCCUACUGGAAGAAUAAGACACUCAUGCAUCUUGAAGCCAUCGACAAUGACCUCUGGUAUGUUGUCAGGACUGGUGUUCCCAAAGUCGGUGAAGGAGUCACCGCAGCUGAUGUGAAGAGAUUUGCUCAACUGGAUUCGACCGCCAAGAAAAUCAUAUGCGGUCAUCUAACCAAAGGGCAGUAUGGUCGUGUGAGUGCUCUGGAAUCUGCGGAGCUGGUCUGGGACUGGCUAUCCAAGGUCAAUUAAGGUGUCUCAUCUCAACAAGACUCUCAAAUCGAUGUUCUUUGCAAUCUCUUCAACCGCUUCAAGAGGCUUGACAAAGAAAAUGUUCAGCUCACUUUCGGUCGUCUCACUGACACCACCAAUGAGCUUCAUGCUCUCGGCGCCACUAACAUCACCAAGCAUGAAAUUGUGAAGAAGCUGCUGAGGUCCCUUGACAAUUCAUUUGACACCCUAUCUUUAAUGAUACAAGAGCGUCCUGAUUUCAAGCUGUUGGAUCCCAUCGAUAUUCUUUAGAGGCUCAAUACUCAUGAAUUCCAGCUAUCUGAGAAGAGAGAUAUCUAUGGUCCUAGCUAUGGAUGUGCCUGUGCUCUAAAGGCAAAGGUUGUGUCUUCGUCUGAAGAAUCUGACUGCAGUUCCGGUGGCCCUGAAGACAUUGACAGAGAACUUGCAUUGCUGGUGAAGAAGUUCUCCAAGAAAACCGCUUCGGAAAGUCUUCAAAGUAUGACUCGAAGAAGGCAGAGACUUCUACUCAUGACUAAAAGAAGAGAACUUUCCAAAUGCAAGAAGCCAAGCCACUACAUGGCUGAAUGUCCUCUCUAGGAAAAGGAAUCAAAGAAGAAGAAGAAGAAGAAGCAGAAGAGCAAGGAUGACUCUAACGAAAAGAAGAAGAAGAAAUACUCAAAGUCUUGUUCAAAGAUCUCAUCGCACAAAAAUAGUUCCUCCAGCAAAGCUCGUGCAUUCAUCGGCAAGGAAAUGGAUUUAGUGGAGGAGUCUACUUCUGAGGAAGUGGUGGAGGAGUCAGUUGAGGAGUCUAAUUCAGGUGUGGCAAGCCUGGCUCUAGCUUCUGCAUUCGUCGCCAAGUCCAUCUUCAGCAAUGAAGACAAUGGCUAUGUCACCCACACCGAAGCCGCUGCCGCCGACUCUGCUCCUGCUUAUUGCUUCAUGGUGAUACGUCCUUUUAUUGAUCCGAUAUUGGAACAGAAAAGAGUACCCCACACCUAUUUCUUCAGAGGUGACCCUAGUUUAUCAAACACACGAGAGGAAGACUCCCUUGAAGUGUUGGUCUCUAGCAUGCUUUUGUCAAAGUGCCAAAUCCAGCUUUUGACCGGAUCAACAAGCAAAUGGUCAUUUAAACACCUAUAAUAAAAAGAGGUAUUGGUAUGUGGUCUUAUGCUUACAACCUUGUAUUUGCACGGAGAUCAAAUAGGAUAUUAAUUUGUGCGCUGGAUGUCACCCAUCAAGAUGUGCUUAUCACAAAUCAAAGUGGGGAAUGUGUCCAAAUAAAUCUUGUCCGACACGAGUCCUACAUCAAGAAUCAUUUGUCCUACUACAGGCCCUAUCCGUCGCGCGAGGUUGCCUCGAUAAUUAAGAUAAUGAAAUCAGACAAGAGCUUUGGGCAUUUAAUGACUACACCUCAUUUAUCCCCAAGGAUAUGAUCCAUGUUACCCUACUAAACCUUACUAUCAACGGUGUUCGGUAUAACACUUCAUGGUCUCCUUGCUCCUAGCCUCACCGGUGCUCGAUCUCCAUGAUCCUGGGUACCUACACAGAUGAAUAUCGCGGACAAGAGAAGAGACAUCUUCACAGAACAAUUUAUUUCACACAUACGGGACGUUAUGUCAAAGUCUUCCAUUGAUCUCCUUAACAAAUACCUUGGGUUGCAAGGCUCAUGCCUCCACCCAUACCUUACCAAACUACUCACACAUGGAGAUCAGAUCACGGGAAGAAAACACUGAAGAACACAUCUUGAGAUUGAUUGAUUGCAAUAUAUCUUACAAUGGAGUGCGAUGCACGAUUACAAGUAUGAACUAGAUGGGAGAGCACUAUGGUGGUGGUGGAGAUGGCUAUGGAGAUGACGAUGCGACCGCUAGGGUUUGUGGAUGAAGAUGAUGUUGAAUAGGUUCUGGCUUCUAUGCUCGUCGCCCUAUUGACAUCUCGAAGGGGUCCCUUUAAUAAAAGUUGUUCAGGUGGACAAUCUGCCUCGAAAUCCAUGCCAAACGGGCGCUCAUACGGGCGCAAGCGCCGUCUUUCGCUCUGUUUUUGCAGAAACGCCUCCUGUUGAUUUCUUCUUCCUCCAUUCUCCUUCUAUUCCAUUUCCACGCAUGAUUUGUUCACUUUUUUAGCCCAUUUCAUGUGGAAACACGUUAAAGAGAGGAUUUGUGGAAUCCUUUGCAUCCAUUAGUCAUUAGUGGCAAUAUCGGAGCGAAUAUCUCUUUUUAAAUGAAAUAUCUCGGUUUAAACAUAGGUGAAACGAGUGUAAAAAUAUCACUCAUCAACUCCCCCAAGCUUAAACUUGAUUGUCCUCGAGCAACAUAAAGAGAAAUCUGAAUCAUAAGUAACUCAGUUGUUUAAAUUGAAAUAACGAGAAGGUUUUGGUUCACUUACGAUCGAUACAGCUAGAUAGCCCUUCGCUUCUUGACCUGAAAACUUAGCAUAGCUCCAAUGGUGGCAUGAUUAUAGUGCAAGUGUUAGUUAAGCAAACAUAAUCAACACAAAGUUCUUGAUCUAUUAGACAAAACAAAUUUGCAACACUCUAUUCUAUUUAGUCUAGACAACACUUGCUUGCCGGGAAUGAACAUAAGAGUUUUUGUUUAGAUGGAGCCAAUAAAACAUAGGUUAGGAAGUGAAAGCAUGUAGUAAAAUAUGAUGCUCUAAUGCUCUUAAGCACACCCACAAUCAUUUCCUCCUCAAGGCUCUUAAGCACUUUAUUUCAAUCAUUGUGUGCUGGAACUUUGAUUGUCAUGUGAAGGGAUUAUGCCAAGAAAGUGGUCAUGCAUAGGUUUUUGCCGUGGCUUAAUGUUUAGGAACUAUGGACCUCUGAUACAUGUCUCUUGCGAGCUCUUUUGACCAAUUCCUUUUAUUUACCACAUACACACCAUUUCAAGAGAAAGCCAAAUAAUAUGCAUUUGUAGUGUUGCCACUAUGUACGCAACAAACUCAUAGCCGAAAUCCGAGCUAUCUCUCUUGCUGGAUCAUUCAUUGGCCAGUGGAGUCCUCAACAUUACAUCAAGAAGGCGAAGAAGCCACAUUUGCACACGUACACGUGCAUAUAGUAGCAGAGCCAUGGCACCAACAAGGAGCUGAAGCACCAUGUAAGAGAUACGACACAGAUUUUUGGCAUAAUCUCAUUCACCUUUCAACUAAGUUCCUCUAGACAAUUUAAUCCACAAGUGCUAUUAAGUCUAUUAAAAUUAAUGGGGUUGAGCAAUUCAAAAUGCAAACGAACUCCAAAGGGCCAGAUAAAGAACAAGAGCAAUGAUACGUCUCCGUCGUAUCUACUUUUCCAAACACUUUUGCCCUUGUUUUGGACUCUAACUUGCAUGAUUUGAAUGGAACUAACCCGGACUGACGCUGUUUUCAGCAGACUUUCCAUGGUGUUAUUUAUGUGCAGAAACAAAAGUUCUCGGAAUGACCUGAAACUCCACGGAACGUCUUUUUGGAAAAUAAGAAAAAUACUGGAAGAAAAAUCCACGUCAGGGGGCCCACACCCUGUCCACGAGGGUGGGGGGCGCGCCCCUGCCUCGUGGGCCCACUGACGCUCCACCGACCUCAACUCCAACUCCAUAUAUUCACUUUCGGGGAGAAAAAAUCAGAGAGAAGGAUUCAUCGCGUUUUACGAUACGGAGCUGCCGCCAAGCCCUAAAACCUCUCGGGAGGCUGAUUUGGAGUCCGUUCGGGGCUCCGGAGAGGGAAAUCCGUCGCCUCCGUCAUCAUCAACCAUCCCCCAUCACCAAUUUCAUGAUGCUCACCGCCGUGCGUGAGUUAUUCCAUCGUAGGCUUGCUGGACGGUGAUGGGUUGGAUGAGAUCUAUCAUGUAAUCGAGUUAGUUUUGUUAGUGUUUGAUCCCUGGUAUCCACUAUGUUCUGAGAUUGAUGUUGCUAUGACUCUGCUAUGCUUAAUGCUUGUCACUAGGGCCCGAGUGCCAUGAUUUCAGAUCUGAACCUAUUAUGUUUUCAUGAAUAUAUGUGAGUUCUUGAUCCUAUCUUGCAAGUCUAAAGUCACCUACUAUGUGUUAUGAUCCGGCAACCCCGAAGUGACAAUAAUCGGGACCACUCCCGGUGAUGACCAUAGUUUGAGGAGUUCAUGUAUUCACCAUGUGUUAAUGCUUUGGUCCGGUACUCUAUUAAAAGGAGGCCUUAAUAUCCCUUAGUUUCCGCUAGGACCCCGCUGCCACGGGAGGGUAGGACAAAGGAUGUCAUGCAAGUUCUUUUCCAUAAGCACGUAUGACUAUAUUCGGAAUACAUGCCUACAUUACAUUGAUGAAUUGGAGCUAGUUUUGUGUCACCCUAUGUUUUGACUGUUACAUGAUGAACCGCAUCCGGCAUAAUUCUCCAUCACUGAUCCAAUGCCUACGAGCUUUUCACAUAUUGUUCUCCGCUUAUUUACUUUUCCGUUGCUAUUGUUACAAUCACUACAAAAUACCAAAAAUAUUACUUUUGUUACCGUUACCACUACUAUCAUACUACUUUGCUACUAAAUACUUUGCUGCAGAUACUAAGUUAUCCAGGUGUGCUUGAAUUGACAACUCAACUGCUAAUACUUGAGAAUAUUCUUUGGCUCCCCUUGUGUCGAAUCAAUAAAUUUGGGUUGAAUACUCUACCCUCGAAAACUGUUGCGAUCCCCUAUACUUGUGGGUUAUCAAGACUAUUUUCUGGCGCUGUUGCCGGGGAGCAUAGCUCUAUUCUUUGAGUCACUUGGGAUUUAUAUCUGCUGGUCACUAUGAAGAACUUGAAAGACGCUAAGACAACAAUUUAUCCCUCAACUACGAGGGGAGGUAAGGAACUGCCAUCUAGCUCUGCACUUGAUUCACCUUCUGUUUUGAGUAAGCUUGCGACACCUAAACCUGCUUCUGCUAUUCGUUCUGAUAUGUCGCAUGUUAUUGAUGAUGCCACUUCUACUAUGCAUGAUACUUAUGAUGAAACUACUUCUAUGCUUGAUACUACUGUGCCACUUGGUGAAUUUCUUGAUGAACAACUUGCUAGAGUUAGAGAGAAUGAAAUUAUUGAAACUGAUAACAUUGAUGAAAGUGAUGAUGAAGACUCUCCUGUUAUUCCUGAGGGUUGUGUUUUUGAAAAAGAAGCUACUUUAGCUAUUUUAGCUUGCAAAGAUAGAUAUGAGCUCAAGAGGUUAUUAACUAAAUGGAAGCAACAAUCUCUUAAUGCUAGAAUGAAACCUGACCCUGCUUUUGCUACUUCACCUAUCUGUGUUACUGAUAAGGAUUAUGAAUUCUCUGUUGAUCCUGAUAUAAUUACUUUGGUUGAAUUUGAUCCUUUUCAUGGCUAUGAAUCUGAAACUGUUGUGGCACAUCUUACUAAAUUAAAUGAUAUAGCCACCCUGUUCACUAAUGAUGAGAGAACCCGCUACCUUUAUAUCCUUAAAAUAUUUCCGUUCUCAUUAAAGGGUGAUGCUAAGAUAUGGUUUAAUUCUCUUGAUCCUGGUUGUGUGCGUAGUCCCCAGGAUAUGAUUUAUUACUUCUCUGCUAAAUAUUUCCCUGCUCAUAAGAAACAAGCUGCUUUAAGGGAAAUAUAUACUUUUGUGCAAAUUGAAAAAGAGAGUCUCCCACAAGCUUGGGGGAGGCUUCUCCGAUUACUUAAUGCUUUGCCUGAUCAUCCUCUUAAGAAAAAUGAAAUACUUGAUAUCUUUUAUAAUGGACUAACCGAUGCUUCCAGAGAUUUCCUGGAUAGUUGUGCUGGUUCUAUUUUCAGGGAAAGAACACCGGAUGAAGAUGAAAUUCUAUUGAAUAAUAUGUUGACAAAUGAAAAUAAUUGGACACUUCCUGAGCCAGCUCCUGAGCCUAUUCCUAAACCAACUCCAAAGAAGAGAGGUGUUCUAUUUCUCAGUCCUGAAGAUAUGCAAGAGGCAAAGAAAUCUAUGAAAGAAAAGGGUAUUAAAGCUGAAGAUGUUAAGAAUUUACCUCCUAUUGAAGAAAUACAUGGUCUUAAUUUAUCGCCUGUUGAAGAAACUUGUGAUCUUAAUCCUCCACCUAUUCAAGAAACUCAUGGUCUUGAUAACCCGACACAGGUAGUAAAGGUUAAUUCUCUCUAUAGAUUUGAUGAAGGUGAUAUUCCUCACUAUAAGUCUGCUAGACAAUGCUUAGAAGAGUUUGAUAAUUUUAUUGUCAAACAAGAAAACUUCAAUGCUUAUGUUGGUAGACAAUUGAAAUACAAUUCCGAUACGCUUGAACACUUGGGUGAUUAUAUGUCUAGAGUUAAGGGUGAACUUAAGCUCAUUACUAAACAUGCUUCUAUGGUUACCACUCAAGUAGAACAAGUACUGAAAGCUCAAAGAUUUGCUCAAUGAAUUAAAUAGUAAGAAUAAUGACUAUGCUGCUAGAGUGGCUACUAGAACUGGUAAAAUGACUCAGGAACCUUUGUAUCCUGAAGGCCAUCCUAAGAGAAUUGAGCAAGAUUCUCGGAGAAAUAAUAUAGAGGCACCUAGUCCUUCUAAAAAGAAGAAAAAGAAAAAUGAUAGGACUUUCCAUGCUUCUAGUGAACCUAUUGCUGAAACACCUGAGAAUCCAAAUGAUAUCUCUGUUUCUGAUGCUGAAACACAAUCUGGUAAUGAACAUGAGCCUAGUGAUAAUGUUAAUGAUGACGUUCAUGAUGAUGCUCAACUGAGUAAUGAUAAUGGUGUAGAAAUUGAACCUGCUGUUGAUCUUGAUAACCCAUAAUCAAAGAAUCAACGUUAUGAUAAGAGAGACUUUGUUGCUAGGAAGCACGGUAAAGAAAGAGAACCAUGGGUUUAGAAACCCAUGCCUUUUCCUCCCAAACCAUCCAAGAAAAAGGAUGAUGAGGAUUUUGAGCGCUUUGCUGAAAUGAUUAGACCUAUCUUUUUGCGUAUGCGUUUGACUGAUAUGCUCAAAAUAAAUCCUUAUGCUAAGUACAUGAAAGAUAUUGUUACUAAUAAAAGAAAGAUACCGGAAGCUGAAAUUUCCACCAUGCUUGCUAAUUAUACUUUUAAAGGUGGAAUACCAAAGAAACUUGGAGACCCAGGAGUACCCACUAUACCAUGCUCCAUUAAAAGAAACUAUGUUAAAACUGCUUUAUGUGAUCUUGGAGCCGGUGUUAGUGUUAUGCCUCUCUCUUUAUAUCGUAGACUUGAUUUGAAUAAGUUGACACCUACUGAAAUAUCUUUGCAAAUGGCUGAUAAAUCAACUGCUAUACCUGUCGGUAUUUGUGAGGACGUGCCUGUUGUGGUUGCAAACGUUACUAUUUUAACGGACUUUGUUAUUCUUGAUAUUCCCGAGGACGAUAGUAUGUCUAUUAUUCUUGGAAGACCUUUUUUUAAUACUGCAGGGGCUGUUAUUGAUUGCAACAAAGGCAAUGUCACUUUUCAUGUUAAUGGUAAUGAGCAUGCACUUUCCGAGGAAACAACCUCAAGUCCACAGUAUCAAUUCUGUUGGAAAAAUUCCAUCAAUUAUUUUUGGCGGUUUUGAAUUUCCUCUUCCUACUGUCAAGAAGAAAUAUUAUAUUCUUAUUAUUGGGGAUGUGCAUAUCCCCGUUGAGGUAACAUAGUGUUAUUCGAAAUUUCUCCGGUUCCAUGUUAUUCAAAAUGAGUUGUUAAAAAGACUUGAUAAACCUUGUUAGUGGAUUCCUUUUGAUGAGCAUGAGAUGGAUGAAACUAGAAGGCACAACCUUCUAUACCCUCCUUUUACUUUCUGUUAUUUAGUUGAAAUAAAAGUAAAAAUAGUAUUUUCCUGUCUGUUUUCUGAUUCAUCCGUGCAAUAUAAAAAUACCCCGAAAAUAAAAGUUCUCCAAAUGCCCUGAAAAUGGAAUAUGAUUUUUUCUAGAAUUUUUGAGAAUAUCUGGCACUGAGAACACAACAGGAGGGGCAAGCACCUGGCCACGAGGGUGGAGGGCGCGCCCUACCCCCUGGGCGCGCCCCCUGCCUCGUGGGCCCAUGGUGGCCCCCCUCCACUUAUUCCUGCACCCACACACUUCUUCUUCCUCCCAAAAAAAUCACCAUCCAGCUCAAGCACGAGUUCUAGCUCAUUUUGCUGCAAUUUUCGAUCUCCUUGCUCAAAGCACCUCUCACAAAACUGCUUGGGGAGAUUGUUCCUUGGUAUGUGACUCCUCCAUUGGUCCAAAUAGUUUUUGUUCUAGUGCUUUAUUCAUUGCAAAUUUGUGCUGCCUAAGUGACCAUGUUUUUGAGCUUGCAUGUCAAAUUUAUAUGGUUCCAAGUGGUUCUAAUGCUUAAUAUAGGCUCUAGGCACUUGUAGGAGUAGUUGCUAUCAAUUUUAUUGAGUUUGGUUCAUUUUUAUUUGAAGUGACUAAAAAUUUCAGAAUUUUUCAAAAAAUAAUGAAGAGAUUUUUGAGGGGCUCAUCGAGCCGAAGCUCGAAGGAAAAGCAAAGUGAAGAAGCACAGAGGCCCAAAUAUAAUUUGCUCGCACCGCGGAGGUCCGGCCGUGUGAAUGGCCUUCCAAUGAUUUCUUGAGAGAAGCCGGUAUUUAUGAUGAUUUUUAUGAAUUGGCUGAGAAUGCAGGCCUCAUCGACUUCCUCCGCGACCAACGCAAUCAGUAUCUCUUACUCACCAAUACUUUUGUGCAAAACUUCUACUAUUAUCCUAAGGAAUCACCUCCUUCAGUAGAGUUUCAUUUAUAUGAUGUUGUUAAGAAGAUGCCACUAGAUGAAUUUUGCAAGGUUUGCAAAAUACCUUUUGAAGGUAGUUUAGAGGAACCACAUCGUAAAGAUGUGGACGGGUUUAUUGAUACUAUUACUGUGGGGGAAACUAGGAAGGUUUCCGAUGCAAGAAUCACUAGCAUACAUUUUCCUAUUUUACGCUACUUUGCCAUAUUUGCUAGUCGUUGCUUAAUUGGUCGCGGAAACUGUGGAAGCCUUAGUGUUCCUGAUAUUAUCAUUUUGUUCCAUGGUUUAUUCUGCGAUAACACUGUUAGUAUGGGCGGUAUUAUUGCUAAACGGUUAAGUUUGAACCAUACAAAGGGCCCCAUCUUUGGAGGUAUUUAUGCUUCAUGCCUUGCUGCACAUUAUAACAUACCUAUUAGGCACUAUGAAAAAGAAGAAAAAUUGCUGCCCAAUGCUUAUUUAGAUUAUAAGAGUAUGGCAGCGCAUGACUUUAUUGUUAAGAAUAGGGAAGGAGCGCUUAAAUACAAAUUGUUCUUUGAUAAACAUCACCCUGAGACUAUUACCUUGCCUGCUCCCUCCUUGUUUAAUUUAUCUGAAGGUCCGUAUGUCGUUCCGUUGGCGGCCAUUCACGCCUACCGGAACCCUACACCAGCCACGGAGCCGGAACCACAAUUUGAACCUCCACGACAGUCUAACUACCAGGGGGAUCCGGAUAUGAUUGCCAACCAGUGGCAGUCAGAGUCUUAUUCAUCUCAGUACGACCCCGGCUACAACUAUGGAUAUCCGCCAGGCCAUCCGUGGCAAUAAACCAACUUAGGCCAAAAGCCUAAGCUUGGGGGAGUACGUAUCUCUCACCGACAUUACAUUUAUGUUCACACACUCAUUACUAGACGUCGGUGCUCAUACUCUUUCACUGUAAUAUCCAUGCUAGUUUAUUUUAUUUUUCUUGCUUUCUUCUUGUGUGUUUAAAAAACCUUAAGAAAAACCAACAAAAUUAGUUGUAGCUUUUAGCUAGUUUACUUUCUUGCUGUAGUAGUAAUAAUUAAAAAGAAAACCCAAAAAGAUUUCCCAUUCUUCUUUUACUUGUUGGGAGCUUUCCCGUGUAAAUAGUUUUAUUUCUUUUCUUUUCUUUGGGGGUCGUUAGGAGAAGACCAUAAUUAAAAUUGUUGAAGUGGCUCUUAUAUGCAUUAUUGUUGAUUUAACCAAGAGCCCAUAUUGCCUUGUCUUCUCCUGUUUAUUGAAUGCUCGCAGAUUCCAGCUUAGUCCAAUGCACGUGCACUCUUAUUAUUUUCACAUCGUUCGGUCGUGCAAGUGAAAGGCAAUUAUGACGAUAUAUGACGAACUGACUGAGAUGAGAAAAGCUGGUAUGAACUCGACCUCUCUUGUUUUUGUAAAUAUGAUUAGUUCAUCGUUCUUGAUUCAGCUUAUUAUGAAUAAACAUGUUUGCAAUGACAAUUAGAGAUUAUAGUUGCUCAUGCCAUGCUUGAUUAGCUAUGAGUUAUAAUGGUUUACCUUGCGUGCCAACAUGCUAUUAAAAUGGUUGUGAUGUGGUAUAGUGGGGUGGUAUCCUCCUUUGAAUGAUUUAAGUGACUCGACUUGGCACAUGUUCACACAUGUAGUUGAAACAAAUCAACAUAGCCUUCAUGAUAUUUAUGUUCAUAGUGGAUUAUAUCCUACUCAUGCUUGUACUCAAUGUCUAUUAAUUUUAAUGCAUGUUCAUGACUGUUGUCGCUCUCUAGUUGGUCGCUUCCCAGUCUUUUG
RNAcentral lists this long non-coding RNA (80704 nucleotides) under Triticum aestivum (bread wheat). RNAcentral's name for it is "long non-coding RNA (TAES_LNC024086)". The record is from RNAcentral. Lineage: Eukaryota; Viridiplantae; Streptophyta; Magnoliopsida; Poales; Poaceae.